RNAcentral lists this long non-coding RNA (81357 nucleotides) under Gossypium barbadense (sea-island cotton). Its description in RNAcentral is "long non-coding RNA (GBAR_LNC007648)". The record is from RNAcentral. Lineage: Eukaryota; Viridiplantae; Streptophyta; Magnoliopsida; Malvales; Malvaceae.
UAAACCCUAGGUUAAAUUAUUGCUAACAUAAGCUUUAUCGAGUUACCAGGAUCUCAAAAAUGUAAAAAUCAUUAAAAACGGGGCUUGGAAUCACUUACUAUGGAGCUUGGAAGCUUGAAACAAACCCUAGCUAUGGAGAACCCUUGAAAUUUCGGCCUAAUGAAGAAGAUGGACAAAAAUUGGGUUUUAAUUUUGUUUUUAAUUCAUUUUAAUAACUAAAUGACCAAAAUACCCUUACUACUAAACUUUCCAAAAAUUCCUUCCAUGUCCUAAAUUUGUCCAUGAACUUAAAAUUGGUAAAAUUGCUAUUUAAGACCUCCUAAUAAAUAUUUCAAAGCAAUUUCAUACUAAAAACUUCUAGAAUACAAGUUUUGCAACUUAUUCGAUUUAGUCCCUACUUUCAAUUUAAGCACUUUAGGCAUAGAAUUUCAUCACGAAAUUUUCACACAAUCAUGCAAUCAUAUCAUAAACCUCAAAAUAAUUAUAAAAUAAUUAUUUCUAUCUCGGAUUUAUGGUCACAAAACCACUAUUCCGAUUAGGCCCUGAUUCGGGAUAUUACAGAAAUCCUUAGUAACGAGCCGAGCUUUGUGUCGAUCAAUGCUGCCAUCAGGUUUAAAAUUUAUGAUGAAGAUAUAUUUUCAUCCUACAGUUUUCUUCCCACUAAGUAAAUCUGAGACUUCCCAAGUUUCAUUUGCCUUGAGAACCCUCAUUUCUUCCAUCACAGCUUUCUUUCAUUCAUCAGAUUCAAGAGCCUCUUCUAUAUUUUUUAGUGUUUCUACAGAAUCAACAUUAGAUACAAAAUCUCUAUAAGACUUAGAUAAGUUUCCAUAAGACACAAACUAUGAAACAGUGUGUUGAGUGCAGCUUCUUGUGCCCUUUCGAACAGCAAUUGGAAGGUAGAUGGAUGGCGUUAAAGGUGAGACUUCUAUUUUAGAAGUCCUUGGUUGAGGAUGAACUUGGCACUACUAUCUUAUCUUCAUGAGGACACUGUAGUCGAGAAUAAACUCGUAGUUCUAGAGCCUAUUCUUACUGCCUCUCCAGAUCAAGUGGCUGUCCUAUUUCUAUUUCUUGCUGCACAGGAAAACCACUGUCUAAAUCUGGAACUACGAUAACACCCUGAUUUGUAGGCUUGGUAAUGGUGGUAGGAUCAAGAGGUAUAAUAAAGAGGGUGUUAAGAGUCUCAUCUUCAUUGAGAGUCUCCCCCUAAAAAUGAGCUACUGUAAAGUAUGGUUCAUUCUAAAAAAAGGUGACAUCCCGAGAGAUAAACAAUCGACGAAAGGUAGGUGAAUAACACUUAUAGCCUUUUUGUGUUGGAGAAUAGCCAAUGAAAGUACAAGUAUGGGCUCGAGGAUCAAGUUUAGAUUGAUUUGGUUGGUGAUUAUGGACAAAAUCUUUGCAACCGAAGAUUUUGGGUGGAAGAUUGGGAACGCAAAAUAAGGGAAAAGCCUUUUGAAGGAUAUUUAUAGGUUUUAGGAAAUUUAGAACCUUGGAUGGUAGUCGGUUUAUGAGAUAGCAGGCUGUUAGUACAGCUUUUCCCCACAGGUAUUUUGGGACCCCCAUGGUGAACAUUAGUACACGAGCCACAGCAAGGAGAUGACGAUUUUUCUCUCGAAAAUCUCAUUUUGUUGAGGAGUGUCAAGACAAGAACUUUGGUGUAUGAUGCCUUGUUCAGCAAGAUAAGGACUCAGGACAGAAUUAAAAUAUUCUCUCCUAUUGUCAGUAUGGAGAAUAUGUAUGGUAAAGUUAAACUGGGUUUGAAUCAUUGAAUGAAAGUUUUAAAAAACUUUAGGUGUUUCUGAUUUUUCUUUGAGAAGGUAAACUCAACAAAUCCUAGUGUGGUCAUCAACGAAAGUUAUGAACCACCUAGCCCCUAUAAUAUUUUUCACUCGGCUAGCUCCCCAUAAGUCACUAUGAAUUAAAGAGAAUGGUUGGAACUAGUUAUAAGGUUUCAAUGGGUAUGGUACAUGGGUGUGUUUGGAUAAUUGGCAGAUUUCACAUUUCAAGGAAUCAACAUUUUUAUUUCUAAAUAACAGUAGAAGGUGUUUCUUCAAGUAUAAGAAGUUCGAAUGUCCUAGUCUACGGUGCCAUAACAUAAUUGUAUCUUCCUUGGAGAUAGAUAGAGCCAACCCUUCUUGUCCACUGUCUUUAUUCCAAAUAUAAAGACCGUCAUCAACUUUAGCAGUGCCAAUCAUCCUCUCCAAUUUCUAUUCCUGUACCACACAACCAGUUGCAGAAAAUUCAGCAAGGACACUUUCAUCCUUAGUUAGUUUACUGAUUAAAAGUAAAUUACAGGAUAGGUUUGGAACAUGUAACACUUCAUGAAGAGAAAAUUUUUUUGUUAAUUGUAUUUCUCUAACACCAGCCACAGGUGAGUAAGAGCCAUCAGCAACGCGGAUUUGGGACUGAUUAUGAUAGGGUGUAUAGGUGUGAAACAAGGUGGAGUUACCUGUCGUGUGAUCGGAGGCACCCGAAUCGAGUAUCCAAGAAGAUUGAUUGUUAGGUUCAAACAUAUUGUUGAGGGCAAUACCUUGAGUGGCUAGGGAUCCUUGAGCAGUAGUAGUGCCUAAUAUCUUAUGAAGAGCCUCAAGUUGAUUUUUGGUUAGACGAAUAUCAAGAGUUUCAUUUGCAGCAGUGAAGGUGUUAGAGGAUACUAGUGUAGCCUUAUUGUCCUUCUGAUUUUUUCCCGGAUAGCCAUGUAGUUUGAAGCAUUUUUCCUUUGUAUGUCCUACACGGUUACAGUGGCUGCACCAUGGCCUGGUUGAGCCUGAAUCAUUCCCAGCACAUGGCUUUUGUGGUUGUGGGCCUCUGAAGAUAAAGGUCGAGUUUUCAGUGGGACAGUAACCAACAGUUGUCACAGGUUUAUAUUCUUUUAAAUCCCCCAACAUGACAAGUUGACGAUUUUCUUCUCUUCUAACUUCUACAAAUGCUUCACCAAUGGUUGGUAGAGAGGUUCUGCCUAGAAAUCAACCACGGACCUCAUCAAGUUCUCGAUUUAGUCCUGCCAUAAACUCAUAGAGAUGUUCCUUGUUGAGGUGAGCCAUAAACUUGGUGUGUUCCUUGCCUUCUCCCAAGUCUGCCUCAUAGUACAUGUCCAGUUUCUGCCACAAAAUUUUUAAGUUAUUGUAGUACUGAGUUACUUCAAGUGUUCCUUUUCAGAUAUCCUUCAAUUUCAGUUUGAUCUCAAAUACUUGGGAGGCAUUUCCAAGAUCCGAGUAAUUUUCUUUAAUUGCGUCCCACAUAUCUUUUGCAAUUUUGAAGAAGAGGUAGGUGCGACUAAUAUGGCCUUCCAUUGAAUUGAUUAACCAAGCCAUUAGAAUCAAGUUGUUAAGUUCCUAGGUGCUAUAAGUUGGGUCUGUUGUGGCUGGUCGUGGGAAGUCUCCAUUAAUAUACCCUAGUUUUCCAUGACCACGGAUCACCAUAAUGACCGAUUGGGACCACUGUAGGAAAUUUUUCCUAUCUAGCUGAUGGUUAGUAAUUAUAAUAGAGGAAUUAAGAUCCCCUUGAGGAGCUCAUUGAUUAGUGUUUGGAAUCAUUUGUGAGGUUUCAAUCUCAGAUGUAGUUUCGAUAGUGUCACUCAUGGAAAGGAAUAAAACAAGAGACAAGAGAGAUUAGAGAAGUUGGAAUCAAAAAAAAUUCCAAAGGCUCCGAUACCAUGAACAAACUUUAGAGAGAAGAUUGUUCUUUUAUUUUAAUUAGGUUACAGAUUUUUAUAAGUAGAACUAAGUACAAAUAAGGAAUCAAUCCCUAGAAAUUAGUAAUUUCCUAAGAAUUAGAAAUUAAUAUUAAAUUCUACUAUACAAGGUAAUUCCUAGGACUAAGGCAAGUAUUCUGUCCUUAAUCUUAGGGAUUCUAACAACUUACAUAGCUCGAACUGCUAUAGUCCGCAUGAAAGCCAUCUUUUAACAAUUUUGCAUAUUGUGUUUCGGUUGGGAGUUCGAGGGUGUAUUAUGAGUUGGGAUUAAACAUGUUUUAAGCUGAAAAUCAUGGUCAAGAAAGCAUUUGUUAAAGGUACGUGGGUGUUUUCAAAAAAAAAAGGUGCGUCAGUGAAGAUUAAAUUCUAAUAGGACAUUGAUUCAUUGAUGUCAUGGUGGAUCCCGCCCUUGACCAUAAUUGUUAGGAUAAUUUCUUUUCUAAGAAACUACUUCAGAAGUUAACUAUUGAAAGAGUUGAAGAUUUUGGUCUUUUAGAUUAUGGUUGUGAAUUCAAAAUUGGAUGUUCUUUUUCGUAGCAUGAUUAAUCCAAUCUUUUUCGGUCCAAAAACUUAUCUCAGCUAUCGUCAAAUAUUACUGCAAUGAAGGAAUAAAACUAACUGAAAUCCAUUUAGAAGCUAAAAAUCCUUCCUAACCUGUUCAAUCAGAUUUCAAUGACAAUAGAGGGAAUUAUGUCUCAAGAAUCCACCAAAAACUCAUCUAAACCUUGUUUUCAACGAUAAAAUUCAAAAUCCAAUGUGUUUUUUUUUCUUUUUCUUUUUAAAUCCAACUUCGAUUCCUUUUUUAUUCCAUUCAAAAUUUAUGUAUUAUUUUUCUUAAAAUAACAUAUAUUUUGCAUAAAAUAAUUAAUGUUAGAUCAACUUUUACGAUAAAUAAAAAAAACAAAUAAAGCAUGAAAUUCAAAAACUAAAAGAAUUUGAAUGGAUUAUGUUGUACUUUUGUCUUUUUUAUUUUAAAUAUGUUAUAUUAUUAUUAUGGUUGUUUGUCUUCUUUUUUUUAAUUAAAAAAACAAUAAAUAAGUUGCAAAGGUUAAGAUUUGAACCAAUAACAUUUGCAUCUAUAAAAUAUUUUUAUAUAUUUCAAUAUCAUUACACUAAAAUAAACUUACAUAUUUUAAAUAAGAUAUAUAACUACAAAUAAUGUUGAGAUUUGAACCCAUGCUCUCAGUAUUUAUAAAAUCUUUUCUUUAUCACUUUAACCCAAACUUUAUUUUGACUUUUUUUUAUACAUUUCAAUGUUAUUAUACAAAUUGUUUCACCCAAAUUGUUUGUAUAUUUAUAUUAUCAUUUAAGUAUGUAAUUGAGUUGGUGAAAAUUACUAAAAUAACCUUACAUGUUUUAAAUAGAUUAUAUUAUUACGAGGAUACUUUUCUCUUAGAUAUUGAGUUCUAAAUACAUAAUAUCUACACUCCUGCUCCACUUGAUUUCAGUGCGGUGGAGCACAAUAUUCAAUUCAGAAUUUUCAAACAGCAAGUCAUUUGCUCCACCACAAUUUUGCAUCUGAUGGAUACGAUGGAAUGGAACGAUUAAAACUCUAAAAAUAAGAGGUGACGUGAUUUAAGAGGAAAGAAGGGGAGAAGAGUAAAAAAACCAACUUAGAAGAUAAUGAACAAUUCUUUAACACCAAGGGAAAGUUUGAAGCUUGCAAAAAAAUAAAAAAUAAAAAAAAGAGAUAUGGAGUGCUCGAUAUUAGUUUGAUAAUUAUUUUUCUCUAGAUUAUUUCUUUUUACUUUCUCUCAAUUUAAGUUUGUUUUGAAUUUCUUCUUGUGAUGUUUUCUCAAAUCAACAUGAACUCUAUUUUCUUGGAACGAUGAUGGAUCAUAUUUCUUAAUUAAUUAAUUAUUUUCUCUUCAAUUGUUUCGAUCAAUGUUAAUUAUUUAUUCAGUCCUAUGCGUAUUUAAUAUGCUUACUUGGCCACUAAGUUGUAUUAAUUUGAUCAUAUUGAUUUGUCUUGGAAGAGAAAUUUAAAGUUUAGAUCUAGACUAAAUAGAAUAGAAUUAAUUUUAGUUGCACUGGCAAGCGAGUUAAUUUGUGACUAAGAUAGCAAUAUACCUAAUGCCCUAAUCAACCAUAAAGGUUUGGUCGUAAUGACUUCGCCCAACUUACCUAGCAUGGGAAUAUAGCUAAUGGGAAAGGAGGAUUAACUUAGUUAGAUACCGGAAUAGUCUAAUUAAUGUCAUUAAAUCUUAAGUUAAUAAUUACAUAGAUUGAACACUUGGAUAAGAGAUAAUUGAUUAACUAGAUUAUGUGAAGUUAGAGUUCCAAUAUCUUUAAAAUUGAUUGAGAAACUUAGUAAUUUUCAUUUUUUUAGUUUAACUGAAUUUUCGUAAUUAGCUUAGUUUAAUUUUAAUAGUAAUUAGAAUUUACUUUAUUGUUUCAGAUUAGAUAAAAAGUGAAUAGUUGACACUUAACUUAGAUUUUGGUUCUCGUGAGAACAAUAUAUUUCUUAUCACUUUAUUAUUGGAUUCAACAGGUGUACUUAUGUAAUGAAUAUUUACACAUCAUAUAUUAACAUGUCAAUGACAAAAUAGUUUUAUUUCUUUUUUGUGUUAUAAAGGUGUUUUUAAGAAAAUUUUGUAUUAUCAUUGUAACAAAAAUAAAUAAUGAUGUUAACUGUUUAGACCAACUAAUGUCAUUGUAAAAGGAUCACAACUACAAUUUAACCAUUAUCUUAUAACGGCGUGUCAAUUGUAGGAAUGUAGGUGUUCAUUUAAAUAUAGGUAAUAGUUUAUAGGUUACGUUCUCUUCAUUAUUUUGAGAUAAAACUUAAAAUUAUAUAUGAAUUAUAGUUUAAUAUGUAAUUUUAUAAAUGAACUUCGAUCUUGUGGCUUGGAUUCGAGUCCCACCAUCUACAAUUGUAAUAAAUGGGUUUCCCUCCCAUCCUAUUCAGAUUUAGUUUGACUUUUAUCGAGUUCUCAGUGUUAUGCAUUGGAAGACAUGAUAAAUUAAAGAAAUUAAGAUAAUUAAAUUAUCUAGAUAAUAAUAUUAUUAAAUUAUUUCAAAUUAAAAUGUUUUUUAAAUAAUUUUAAUAUUAAGGGAGAGGAAGGAGAUGAUAUUAUUAUUAAAUUACUUGAAGUUAAAAUAUUUUGAUAUUCAAAGACACUUAUUUAAAAUAUUGAAUAGAAUAAAAAUUGUUUUAAGAAUUUAGCAUUAAUUAGUGUUCUUGUAUGGAUCUUAAAUAUUAUUGAAAUUAUAUUAAAAAUUAAUUGACAAAAGAAUAAGGUUACAGCAACCCCAAAUCAUCACUUUUCGGAAGUCAGUAUUUUAUAUUUUUGUUACACUCAAAAUAAUCUACAAAUUCAAAGCCGAACGUACAAAUUAAAAAGAAAUACUUUAUUUAUCAUAAGUAGAAGAAUUGUUUAAAUAUGAUUCGGUAAAUUUUCAAUCUUUCUUCUUUUUACCAUACAUGGCAGUUAAUGUACAAAGUACACGGCAGUUACGCUUGCCUGGUUUCCGAUAAAUCGGAUGAAAUUAUUGGGCAAGUUUUCUAUCUUUCUUCUUUACCAUUCAUGGUUCCCAUUCGAUCAGGUAAACUACCCACCUUAUUUGCCCACCGGAGCACUUCCCAUAUAUAGCAACAAGGAACACUUUUAACAUACCACUGACUCCCUUCCCUUCCGUUUUCUUUAUCCAAAAUUUACCAACAAUGGUGGAUACUAAACCGUUGCUUCCAGCAUCCAACUCCGAUGGGUCUUAUCUAACAGGCUCUCGUGUAAAUAGCCUGAAACCCAUCAAAGUUUAUCUUACAAUCUUUUGUGGGUUGUUGGCGGUCGGCUUGUUCGCGGCAUUGUUGAUAGGAAACUAUUGGUCUGAUAAUGCUCGUAUACAUGGCUCAUUGGCUUCGUCAACCUCUAAGAGAACUUAUCCUUUACGUCCUGUAUCACGUGGCCCGGCUCAAGGAGUUUCGGAGAAAACGAGCGGGAUUUGGGCCGGCGUAUCAUGUGGCCCGGCUCAAGGAGUAUCAGAGAAAACGAGCAGGGUUAGGGCCGGUGUCCCCAGGAAUAUCUUACCGGAACCUUUGAACAGUACCAUGUUGGAAUGGCAAAGAACCGCUUUUCAUUUUCAACCUGAAAAGAAUUGGAUGAAUGGUAUUAUUUGAUUCACUGUUCUGAAAAAUACUAUAUUGCACUUAAUCUUUCAUUUGCAAUGAUUAAAGCUGGGUUAUUAGUUUAUUUUUAAGUUUUCUACCUGUGAUGGUAUAUAAUAUCUUGAAUUUUUUGUAUGGAUUGUGCUUUUUACAUGUUUUGCUCGGACAUCGGAAUCUGGUUUUCAGAUCCAAACGGUAAGGCCUCAUUUUCUUAAUUUAAUAUGAUUUUGUUGUAUUAAAACAAAACCAUCAUAAUUCAGGUUUUAGGUUUAACUUAGUUCAGUUUAUAAAUCAAACAUUUCUUUGUUCAAAUAGAUUGUGUUAUUUGAGGUUAGAAGGAAUGGCUCUUUUUUAUCUGAUUAGUCAAAAUCAGAUUUAAAAAUAUUCUCAAAAAAAAUGAAUCCCACUUUUUCUAUUAAAAUAUCUAAUAUUCUCAUAUGCUGCAUUUUUAUAACCUAAUGUGUGAUUUAAUGUAAUAUAUAUCGAGGCAAUCAGUUCCAUUUCCAUAUAAAAAGUCAGAACAAUUGUAAAAUGAGGGGACCAAAAUUUUAAUUUUGCUAAGUGUUGGUGCAAGAGGCAGCAGCAAGCUGAUUUCAGCUUUGCUUAAACAGCAAGUCUCGAGGCUUGCAGCAGAAACAAUCAAGGAAGAAAAAACUUACAAUGGAAAACAGAAAAGAAAGAGAGAGAUUUGAAUGAAAAUGAGCUGAAUUUUCAUUAACCUUUUAAGAAGGCAUGAUGCCAAUACAUAUAAGGGAUUACAAUAGCAAAACAAACAAGUUACCACCUAAUAACUUACCUAACACCACUAAUUUGCCUAGUAACUUGGUAAACUUGUUUGAAUACAUAAACAGCUACCUAAACUUGUCAUUCAUCACUUAGUUACAUCAAAAUGCAGCUACCAACUAAGUUUGAUCCUAACUAAAUACAAAACAUUCAUUUAAAGAAACUAAAUGAAUAGCUUCAGCUUGCUGCACCAAUUUGCUAUUGAAGCACGUUCCCUGCAUAGCCACCUUUGCUGCUACAUGGGAGCUGACUUCAACACUCCUCCUCAGCUUCUAUGCAGCAGACUCCUAGUUCCCUCUUUAGGCUUAGAAAUCUUGAUACACCAAGAGACUUUGUGAAGAUAUCAGCAAUCUGAUUUUCAGAGCUGCAAUGAAUCAGCUCAAUUUCUCGAGCUUGUUCCAUCUCCCUUAUCACAUGCAGUUUAAUAUCGAAGUGUUUUGUCCUACCAUGGAAGACAGGAUUUUUGGCAAUAGCAACUGCUGACUUGUUGUCACAAUGUAUCACAGUUGCUUCAUUCUGGUGUAGGUUUAAAUCACUCAAAAUUUUUCUCAGCCAUACAGCUUGAUUAACAGCAUUAGCAGCUGCUACAUACUCAGCUUCAGCUGUUGACUGAGCCACCAUUGUUUGUUUUCUUGAGCUCCAACAAAUCAUUGCAGAGCCAAGUGUAAAAGCAUAACCAGAGGUGCUCUUCAUGUCAUCUUUUGAACCAGCCCAAUCGCUGUCUGUAUAGCCAAUCAAUUUCAACUCCUUGACCCUUUUGAAACAUAUACCAUGGUUCAAGGUACCUUUGAUAUACCUCAGAACCCUUUUUCCUGCUUUGUAAUGCUGCUGAUUACAGCAAUGCAUGAAUCGUGACAGCAUGCUCACAGCAAAUAGAAUAUCAGGUCUUGUUGCUGUCAAAUACAACAAACAGCCAAUAAGGCUUCUAUAAUCUGUUUCACAGACAGAUUCAUGUUCCUCUUGGCUCGAUAACUUCAUGCCAAUAGCCAUUGGUGUGCUCAUUGGUUUACAAUUCUCCAUUGAGAAUUUCGCCAGCACUUUCAAGGCAAAUGUCUUUUGUUUCAAGAGGAUUCCUCCUUCUACUUGAUUGACUUCCAUUCCUAGGAAAUAUGUCAUCAAUCCCAAGUCUGACAUCUCAAACAUUUCCUUCAUUUUUGUUUUGAAAUCAGCCAACAUAAACUUGUCUCCUCCAGUCACUAGAAGAUCAUCAACAUACAGUGACACAAUAAGCUGUGUUUCAGCUCCAUUCCUCUUAACAUAGAGUGUUGGCUCACUAGCACUCCUUUCAAAUCCCAAACUGACCAGGUAUGAGUCAAUUCGAGCAUACCAGGCUCGAGGGGCCUGUUUUAGGCCAUACAAGGCCUUUCUUAGCCUAUACACCAAAUGUUCCUUACCAGGCAUUAUAAAACUUGGGGGUUGCUUGAUAUAUAUCUCCUCUUCUAAGAAUCCAUUGAGGAAUGCAGACUUGACAUCCAUUUGGUGGAUUGUCCACUGGUUCUGAGCAGCAACUGCAAUCAGUAAUCUGAUUGUAUCGAGUCUGGCUACUGGAGCAAAUGUUUCCAAGUAGUCCAGACCAUACCUUUGACUGAAGCCCUUCACAACUAGCCUGGCCUUUAGCUUGUUUAAACUUCCAUCUGCAUUGUGCUUCACUCGAUAGACCCAUUUUACACCAAUGGUCUUUCUGUUGGCAGGCUUUUUAACCAACUCCCAUGUCUGGUUCUUCACAAUCAUGUUGAUUUCAUCAACCAUAGCCUGUUUCCAACCUUCAUCUGCUUUAGCUUCUUCAAAACUACUAGGUUCUACUAUAGCAGCUUGUGCUCUUUCAUAAAUCUCAUCUAGGGGUCUUGUGCCUCUCACAGGCGCAUCAUCAACAUCCAUUUCAGGACCAAGGUGCUCGAGUUCAGCUUGAUUAGACACCAGGUCUUCUGAAGUAGCUUUUGGUUUACUCUUUUCCCAAUUCCAGCAAGCCUUCUCAUCGAAGAUGACAUCUCUGCUCACUUGGACUUUGUUUGUCAAAGGAUCCAGAACCCUGUAGCCCUUCUUAACUGAGCUAUAGCCUAUAAGAACACCUGGUUGAGCCCUUUUAGAGAGCUUGUCUCUGUUUGCUGCUGGUAUUUGUGCAUAACACAGGCAACCAAACACUUUUAGAUGUGCCAAUGAAGGCUUGAAACCGAACCAAGCCUCGAAAGGUGUCUUGGAUGCAAGAGCUUUAGUAGGAAGCCUAUUUUGAAGGUAGACAGCAGUGUUUACUGCCUCAGCCCACAUGGUCUUGGGCAGUUUCUUCUCAAACAGCAGGCACCUGGCCAUAUCCAUCAAGCUUCUGUUCUUUCUUUCUGAUACCCCAUUCUGCUGAGGUGUGUAGACAUUUGUAAGCUGGUGUUUGAUACCAGCAUCAUUGCAAAUGGCUUGAAAUUGAGCUGAAGUGUACUCAGUGCCAUUGUCUGACCUUAUCGAUUUCAGCUUGCAACCUGUUUCUGUCUCUACUGCAGUUUUAAACUUCACAAACACUUGAGCUACCUCAGACUUGUGUUUUAAGAAGAAAAUCCAGCAAAACCUUGUAAAAUCAUCAAUGAAGAGGAUGAAAUACCUGUUUUUGCUGAGUGAUUCAGUCCUCAUUGGGCCACAUACAUCAGAGUGCACCAGCUGCAGUCUUUCAAAAGCUCUCCAAGCUGAAUUUGUAGGAAAUGGCAGUCUUGCCUGUUUCCCCAUUUGGCAAACUUCACACACAUCAUCAUGCUUUACUGAGCUGGUAAAGUUUUCUGCCAAGCCCUCUUUGGCCAUUCAAGCCAGUGAUCUGAAGUUGGCAUGUCCGAGCCUUUGAUGCCAAAGCUUGGAAUCAUCAACAGAAGCUGUGUAUGCUGACUUUGAGUCAUUUGGCCAGUGCACCUCAAAGCAUUUGUCAGUCAUUGUGAUUUUCAUAAGGCUUGAUCCACUUGGAUCAGCAAUCUGGCACUGUUUGUCCUUGAACACAACAGAAUAGCCUUUCUCGAGCAAUUGAGCUAUACUGAGAAGGUUUCUGUCAAUCUCAGGCACCAAAAGCACAUUCGGAAUAAUCUUGUUGCCUGUAGGAGUACUUAUCAGCACCUCUCCUCUUCCUUCAGCCCUUAUGAACUGACCAUUUCCAACCUUGACCUUGGUUUUGCAACUUCUAUCCAAGGUUUUAAACAAGGAGGCAUCUGGUGACAUGUGGUUAGUGCAACCACUGUCCAAUAACCAGCCUUUUGAGCAUUUCUUCUCAGCAGCUAAGCAAGACACAGCAAAGACCUGCUCUUCUUGGUCACUACUGUCCUCAGCUACUCGAGCUUCAACCUUUGGUUGUUGAAAUUGGCUCUGCCUUGGCUUGGUUCUAUUUUUGCAAACCCUUUCAACAUGGCCUUUCUUCUUGCAGUAUUGGCAUACUGCAUCUGGCCUGAACCAGCAUCUGUCUUUUGGAUGACCUGGCCUUUUGCAAUGUCUGUAGGGCUGGUCAUUGCUCCUUGCAGCAUCAGGCUUAGGUCUGCUUUUCCAAGGCUUUUUUUCUCUUGGAGCAUUGAUGCUCGAGGCUUCUCUGGCCUUGGCAUUGAAUGCACCUUCCUGGUUGUCUUCAGUUCUGCUAGCUCUCCUUUGUUCCUGAGCAUAGAAGGUGUUGAUUAGCUCAGUCAAAGAGAUGGUAGCAAGGUCUCUUGAGUCCUCUAGAGAGGAUAUCUUGGCCUCAUAUCUCUCAGGCAAAGUGGAGAGGACUUUCUCCACUAUCCUUGCCUCAUCAAAGUGCUCACCAAGGAGCCUUAUACUGUUAACCACUGCCAUGAUUCUGUCUACAUACUGCUUCACUGUUUCUGCUUUUUUCAUCUUCAGGUUCUCGAAAUCCCUUCUGAAAUUCAACAGCUGCUGUUGCCUUGUUCUCUCAGUGCCUUGAAACACCUCUUUAAGCUUAUCCCAGGCCUGUUUUGGAGUCUCACCGGCCAUGAUUCUGGUGAAGAUGAUUUCUGACACACAGUUCUGGAUUCAGGACAUGGCUUUGUGCCUUUUGGUCCUCUCAUCAGCAUGUUGCCUGAUCUGAGCUACUGUGGGAUUAGCCCUCAGUGGUGCUGGCUUAGCAUCUGUGUUGACAACUUCCCACAGAUCGAAGGCCUGUAGGUAAGUCUUCAUCUUGACCAGCCAUAUGUGAAAGCCUUCUCCAUUGAAGACUGGUGGGGCUGCUGGUGAAAAUCCUGAAGAAGCCAUCAGGUUCCUUGGUUUGAAGCAACAGGUCCACUAAGACAAGGGCUCUAGAUACCAAUUGUUGGUGCAAGAGGCAGCAGCAAGCUGAUUUCAGCUUUGCUUAAACAGCAAGUCUCGAGGCUUGCAGCAGAAACAAUCAAGGAAGAAAAAACUUACAAUGGAAAACAGAAAAGAAAGAGAGAGAUUUGAAUGAAAAUGAGCUGAAUUUUCAUUAACCUUUUAAGAAGGCAUGAUGCCAAUACAUAUAAGGGAUUACAAUAGCAAAACAAACAAGUUACCACCUAAUAACUUACCUAACACCACUAAUUUGCCUAGUAACUUGGUAAACUUGUUUGAAUACAUAAAUAGCUACCUAAACUUGUCAUUCAUCACUUAGUUACAUCAAAAUGCAGCUACCAACUAAGUUUGAUCCUAACUAAAUACAAAACAUUCAUUUAAAGAAACUAAAUGAAUAGCUUCAGCUUGCUGCACCAAUUUGCUAUUGAAGCACGUUCCCUGCAUGGCCACCUUUGCUGCUACAUGGGAGCUGACUUCAACACUAAGAUUUCAAUACUGGCAAAACAUAUGUAACAGGUCCAUUGUUCUAUAAUGGUUGGUAUCAUUUCUUCUACCAGUACAAUCCCAAUGGUGCUGUUUGGGGUGACAUUGUUUGGGGCCAUGCGGUGUCGAAAGAUUUAAUUAAUUGGUUCCACCUCCCAUUGGCAAUGGUUGCUGACCAAUGGUACGACAAAAAUGGCGUCUGGACCGGUUCUGCCACCAUCCUUCCUGAUGGAAAAAUUGUGAUGCUAUACACAAGAUCCACCACGGAGGCUGUUCAGGUUCAAAACCUUGCUUUUUCUGCUAAUUACUCUGACCCUUUUCUCAUCGAUUGGGUCAAGUACCAUGGGAACCCGGUUCUAGUUCCACCCCCAAGCAUCUAUAAAAAGGAUUUCCGUGAUCCAACCACUGCCUGGUUGACCUCUGAAGGGAAAUGGCGCAUUACCAUAGGGUCCAAGAGAGAUAAAACCGGCAUAUCUUUGGUAUAUGAUACCAAGGACUUCAUAAACUAUGAGAUGUUAGAGGGGGAACUUCAUGCAGUGUCCGGCACUGGCAUGUGGGAGUGUGUGGACUUCUUCCCUGUUUCUAAAACAGAAGGGAAGGGCUUGGACACAUCCAUCAAUGGACCUGAAGUUAAGCAUGUGGUGAAGGUAAGCCUGGAUGAUGACAGGCAUGAUUACUAUGCUCUUGGGACGUAUUAUGAGAAGAAUGGUUCAUGGAUUCCUGAUCUACCUGAAAUCGAUGUAGGCAUCGGAAUAAGGUAUGAUUAUGGAAUAUUUUAUGCUUCCAAGACUUUCUAUGAUCAGAACAAAAACAGAAGAGUUUUGUGGGGCUGGAUUGGGGAAGGUGAUAGUGAAGCCGCGGAUAUGGAGAAAGGAUGGGCAUCGCUUCAGGUAACUCUUUUCUGUUUCAAAAUGGGUAGUCAUAAAAACGUUUAUUAAAAUCCAGGUUUUUUCAGGUUUGUAAUGUGCUACUUUCACUUACAGAGCAUACCAAGGACAAUAUUGUUUGACAAUAAGACUGGUACGAAUUUGCUUCAAUGGCCAGUGGAAGAAAUAGAGAGUUUAAGGUUGAACGACACCGAAUUUGAAAAGGUUGCAGUCAAGGCAGGAUCAGUUGUUCCUCUUGAUGUUGGUCCAGGCUCACAGGUUUGUCAUAUUCCUUCAUUAACAAUGAUUGAUUUGUAUUCCAAGUUCUUGUUAGUUGACAAGGAGAUCCCAUUCCUUGGUAAUGUAACAGUUGGAUAUCAUAGCCGAGUUUGAGAUAGAUAAAGAAGCUUUGAAGAAAGCAACCGGGUCCAAUAUAACAUUUAGCUGCCAAACCGGCGGUGGAGCUGCCAAAAGUGGAGCACUGGGACCAUUUGGUAUUUUGGUGCUUGCAGAUGAGAGCCUCAGUGAGCAAACUCCGUUGUACUUCUACAUUGCCAAAGAUUCAGAUGGCGAUCUCAAGACCUUCUUCUGCACCGAUCUGUCUCGGUACGUGUAAAGCUCAGCUGCUCUUUCUCAUCGGAUAAAUAAGCUGCCACUCACCAUAUUUUAUUGUUUCAGAUCAUCUAAAGCACCCGAUGUUGAUAAACAAAUUUUUGGGAGCUACGUUCCAGUACUCAAAGAGGAAAAUUUAUCCCUCAGAGUAUUGGUAAAGUUUUAACUUCAUGUCUUUUAACAUAAGAAUCAAUAAACAUGAAAAUGUAUUAAUAUUUUCUUUUCUCAGGUGGAUCAUUCGAUUGUGGAAAGCUUUGCACAAGGUGGAAGAUCAGUGAUCACAUCUCGGAUUUAUCCAACAGAAGCAAUUAAUGGAGCAAGUAAAGUGUUUUUAUUCAACAAUGCUACUGAGACCUGUGUUACUGCUUCAGUUAAGAUCUGGCAAAUGGACUCUGCUUUCAUUCGGCCUUAUUCAGAUGAUGAUGAUGAUAAAGAUGAUGACGACCGGAAAUCCUCUGCGCCCUGUUUCCUUUUGUGCCCUAUCAAUUAUAUGUGUCAUGUGUCACUUGUCUUUACUUCAUAUAUCACGUUUCAAAAUUUAUUUGGUGGGAGUCAGGGAUAGAUUUUCAUAGAUAUGGAUUCCUAGAUGAUAACAAGUUCUAAAGGAUCAAAAAAGGAAAUGCCUUGAUCCGUACCCAAAUUAAUUACAUUUUUUGCACUUCUUCUACCAAAUAAUAUCAUCCUAUCACCUUAAUGCAUUAGAUGUAGUUAGGGAAGAAUUUAAAUCAAAGGAAUGUGCAGACAUUCAUGGGGAAGAUCAUCUGCGUCUGCAGGUGCACCUUGGUUAGAUUGUGAAUAAAUUUAUUCGAUUUUCAAUAAAUAAUAAACAAAUAAAAUAAUUUUAAGAAGCUCUUUUUCCCCUUAAACAUUAAUACUGUUUCUUUUCAAAACUAGGAAAAACCUAAAUAUGAAAGAUAAUUGGUUUUUUUUUUGGCAAUCCGAUAAACCAUCUUAAUUUCCGAUUUAUUUCUUAAUAAAUUAUUUAUUUAAUCUUUUAUUAAUUUUAUAACUUUAAACCAUACUUUAUUAAAUGUUAUCACAAAAAUCAAUAUAAAAAUUUAGAAUUUAUUAAAUUAUUUGUUUUAUUUUUAACAUACUUAUAUACAGAAGAUUUAUCAAUUUGAAAUAAUUAAAAUUUCAUAUUUUUUCUUUAAAAAAAUUUGAAGUAGUUCUAUUUUUAAAUAUUAAUUAAUGUUUAAAUAAAUAAUAAAAUUAUAGCAUAACUUUGUUAAAUUUAAAAUUUUAAAGGGUAUUUAUGUCGUUCCCUUUUAAUGGUUAAUUUGAAAUUUACACUUAUAGAUAGAUAGAUAUAAUUUUUUACUUUCAUUUUCAUUUUUUUAAGUUUUAAUUUUUUAAAUGAAAAUAUUAUCAUUAAUAUGAACUGUGAACAAUAAAAAUACAAAAACAUGUUCGGGUUAGCCUUUUACAAGGCCCAUCUGACAAGCCCUAAAGAUCAUAAAAAUUAAAGCCCAACCUUAAAUGUGAUAAAUAUGUGGAUGGAGUAAAUUUUAUUAACUUAAAUUCAUUAAAGUUAUUAUUUUUUUAAGCUCAAAAGACCAAUCGAUUUGCAACAAGUAUUAGGUUAGAAUCUAGGUAUUUUUAGGUUGAGAUGUUUGCAUAUCGAUCAAAGAGCUACCUCUUAGUUUCGAAAUGAACUUUGAAUCACCCAAUUUCAAGUCCGAGAGCUCAAGUUAAGAUCAUUUUAGUAAAGAUUGCUCGAGUAGAAUUUCUGGAUGAGAUUAUUACGGGAAAUUACGAAUUUCGGGCUUUAAUUUGAGUUUAAAUCAUAUUGAGAUCGAUUUUAAGGCUUAAUUUUGAUUAUAUAUGAGCCUAGUAUUAUAUUUAUUAGGUUUUAUAUUUUAUUUAUUUAUUUAUUUCGAAUUUUAGGAUAUUUCAAAAUAUUUAAGUUGUUUAAAAGUUUUAUAUUUCUUAGUCAAGAAGAAAAUUUAGUUCAAUCAGAACUAUUUCUUGUUUAGAUUAAUUAGAGUUUUAUUAUAUUUGAAGUUUUAUUUGAUUUAAUUAGUUAACUUAUAUAAAGACAUGUUCAUUAUUCAUUAGGUACAACCUUCAUUAUUUGAUUCAAUACAACUCUUUUGAGUUUUUUUUUUCAAGCUUGUUUAUUUUAGAAUUUGUUUUCUUCUUGGUUUUUUACUCCACCCUCUAAUUUACUAGGAGUUGGUUAGAACCAUUUGUGAAGCUUAUUGAUAGAUUAGAACCAUUUGAAAAGGUUGUUGGAGAUUUUCUUCAAUGGGUUUUAUAGUAUAUUGCCUUUCCAUCAACUUCCAUCCAAUCUUUUUCUAUUUUCUCUAUAUCUUUAUUAAUCUUGAUUAUGUUUAUUAGAAUUUCUUUUUUUUCUAAUGCUUUAUCUUCUCACUUGAUUUUAGGUCUCUAGAUUAGACCUGCUCAUGGGUCGGGCUACCCAGCCCGGCCUGAAGGCCUGCCCAAAAUGUGGGAGGGUUUGAGCAAAAAUAUAGGCCCGAAAAAUGGGUUUGGACAAAAAAAUAAGGCUCGUUUAAAAAAUAGGUCGGGCCUCGAGUAAGGUAUUUUUCGCCUGGGCCCAGCCCAACCCAGCCCGAAUUCACUAAAUGACAAAAAAAUCUUUUUUUUUGUUUUUGAAUGUUAUUUUCUUGUUGUUUUCUCCCUAUUUUGCUACCAUAUUACUAUUAUGUUACUACUAUUUUGUUGUUAUUGUUUGGAUAUUGUAUAAAACAUAUUUUAUUAUUAAUUUUGUUAUUAUUUUAAAGACAUUUGUUAAUUUUGUUAUUAUUUUAGAGGUAUUUGCUUGUUAAGUUGCAUCUAUCUUAGUGCUAUUUAAGUCUACAUAUUUUCUAAAAUUUAUUUUCAAUUUGUCAGAAAAUAUUUAUUUUGAUUUUUUAGUAUUUUUUAGUAUUAUAUAUAUUUAAAAAUUAUAUAAAAUAAUAUAAAAAAUUAAUACGGGUCGGGCCAGAGUUUUAGUAUUUUUAUUUGGGUCGGGCUUUGGGAAAAUUUCAAGCCCUUUUUUGGCCCGGCCCGACUCGAGCCCAAUGAAUGAGCCUAUAUUUUUAGUUGAGCCCGGCCCGGCCCAUGAGCACCUCUACUCAAGAUCCUAAGUUAUUCUUUUAAGAUUGUGUCUCACACUCAAGACAAGACCCUCUUCCACUUCAAAUCGCUUGAAUCUUUCUUUAUUGUUCUUGGAUUCUUUUUUCUUUCUUUAGUUUUUGCUUGCCAUCAAAUUACCCUAUUUCUCACUAGGUUUGUACUUAUGUUUCAAGUUGCUUAUUCUCAAAAUAGGGUUUUCUCUAUUCAAUUUGAUUUCCCCUUCCCUCAAACAACUUGAAUUCGAUCUUAUUCGUUGCCUCUGUCAUACGGAAUCAACCAUGAUAGUGUGGAUUGAAAUAAGAACCACUAUAAUUUUCAAAGAAAACUGAGUUAACUGUAAUUAAAAACGAAAGGAAAAUCAAAGAAUAUCGUUGAAGAGGCCAUUACCAGAAACUAGCAUGAAGGUUAGCCUUGCUGUUGACAAGGCUAAAAUCUGGUUUUAGAGGGUUCAACUACUAAGGUUCUUUUCCUUUAACCUAAACAUUUCAAUUAAUUUUAAAUUUUUUUAAGUUGCAACUAAUUUUCAAUAAUAAUUAUUUAUUAUGAAAAGUAAAUUAAAUAACUAACACAAAUUAAUUAAUUAGAAUAAAUAUGGAGAAGAUGCCACAAAUAAAUAAUACACUAAAUUCAGUGAUGUCCAUUAAACUAACUAAUAAAUCGACUAAGUUAAGUGUACCUAUUAAUUAAUAUUAUAGCUAUGGUGAGCACAAAUAUUGUUCCCUUAAGGACUACAAUUACUAGUAAUUAUCAUUUUUCUAUUAUUUAACUUAAUAAUUUAAAGGAUUGAUUAAAACUAAAAUUAACUAACCAAUGCGUCAAAGAAAUAAAACACAAAAAACAAUCAAAUAUCAACCAAGUGACAAAACAAUACCUAGGUAAGAAUCUGCCUAAACUUCAUCUAUAAUUCUCAAUCUAAUUUAUGCAAAUUUUUUCUUAGUUUCUUUGAUCCAUAGAAAUCUCUAAUUUAUAGUAAUAUCUUUUUUGAGUAUAAGAGCAACUAACUCUAAGUUGAUUAAUUGAAAUUUCUUUCUACUUAAAACCCCUAUUAACACUUUAAUUCGCUCUAUAGGCCCCCUAUUAGAUUUGAUUCUAAUCUGAUAGAUUUAUAUCAUCCUAUUUUUAGGAUUGCACACAACUCCAUUCAAUUAUUCAAUAUCUAAUCACAAGAAGGGUUUAUUAAACCCCAAACUUAUGCACAUCAAAACAUGGAUUAAUACUCUAGAAUUAUCAACCCAUGAACAAUUAAGCAUUCAUAAUUGAAGACUAAGGUUUUAUUGCAUAAAACUAGAAAUCAAACAACAGACUCCUCCUAAGGUUCGUCUAUUCUUGGUAUUUAGAAAAUUAGUUCAUACUUGUAAGAAGGAACACAAAAAAUACAAUAUAACAACUAAAAUAAAAGAAAGCCAUGAUAACUCCCUUGGAAAUCAACUUGGACUCUUGAAUCUUGAUGGAGUAUUGCUUGGAAAUUGACUUCAAUGGUGUUAUUCGAGUAAUUUUCGUGCUAAAAUAAGACGAUUGUUGUCUCCCUAUUGCAUUUCCUUAUUUAUACAUUUUUAAAGUGCUAAAAAAACCUAAAAAUCGUAAUUGUCAACUGUUAGUGCACAUGGUUCUCGAAAUCCAUACGCCCAUGUCAGAGCACACAUGGUUCCCGAAAUUCACAUGUCCGUGUGGCUUACAUGGCCCUGUAACACCCCUAACCCACAUUCAUAGCCAGAAUAGGGUUUUGGAGCAUUAGCGAUCAAACAGACAUAAUUUCAAUGCAUUUCAUAUCAUAUAAUAUUCAAGUCAAAUCCAAUCAAACUCAUACAUAUUGUCCCUUAUUCGAGCCCUCGAGGCCCAAAUUACGUGUUAGAAACAAGUCAAUACUAAUUUGGAAACUCAGAGAAUUUUUCGAAAAAUAAUAAAAAUUUUCAAAGCUACAAGGUUCACACGCCCGUGUGUCUAGCCGUGUAGACUCAAAAUGAACCUUAAACAACAACUUUGCCAUUCCCUACAAUCUUGGACACCAAGCAACUCAAAAACCAUUCAUUCAACUAAUUCGAAACACAAUCAAAUACCUUCAAAACAUGUCAAAAUAAUCAACCUAAAUGUCUAACCAAUGUACCCUCAUAAGUACCACAAAUUUAUUAUCAAAACAUAUUAAUUUAAACAUCAUUUAAUCCAUAUCAUAAACAUACCAAUUUCAAUCAAAUUUUUACCUAAAUCAUGAACACUUAAACAUCAAUUUAAUAUACCAUAUUAAAGCUUCAAACACAAACACAUGCUUAUAUAUAUAUCAACCAACAUUAAAAUUAUAAUCUUGUUUACAACUAAACCACAAAAUAGUUAACAUUUACACACCCUAGGUACAUGCCAACACAAAAGAAAUAUACAUCACCACGUUUGAGAUCGGGACCGUUGUUGGAUGCUGAAUUGGCGAUCAAACUUAAGUACCUAACCUAUUUACAGAAAACAAAACCAUACGCUAAGUAUAAACUCAGUGGUAUUUCUAUUAUCCGAAUAUUAAAGGCAAGAUAAUUUAAUAUUUACAUUUAAUCACACAAUAAAAUUUAAUCAUUCAAUUAAUCAAUUAAUCAAUACAUCAUUUAUAACAUAUUCAAUUCUCAUCUCUUGCUAUUUCAAAUCUCAUACUUGCUAUUCAAAUAACUUUUCACAUUCAAUGUUUUCCAAUACCAAUCAUAGUAUCAUUUCAUUUAAUCACCCCUAUUAACACGACUCGGAUUAUGACGGAUACAUGGAUCCAACCAAAACACACCAGUUUGGUAUCCAGUACCUCAUCGGAUAAUUUAAAGUAAAAAUUUGACACCCAGUGUCUCAUUGGUUAAACUGAAGUAAAUUGGCACCCAGUGUCUCAUCGAAUUAAUCUGAAGUAAUAUAUUGACACCCAGUGUCUCAUUGACUCGAAGUCAAAGAAAUCCCUAAACUCUUCCAAUCCUAUGGCAUGGCAUCCAUAUCCAACUCAGCCCGAUACAGUUAAUAGGGUUUAAUCUCACAUUUCAUAUAUAAUCAAUAUCCAAUACUGAUUUUUCAUAUAAUCACAUAAUUACAUAUAUAUUCUUUUCAAUUCAAAAAUCAAUCCAUUCAAUGUAUAUAUAUCUACCAAUUCAAUUCAUUCAAUCAAUUAUCAAAAUAUUAAUUAUUUGCCUCAACACUUACCAUAUACAUUAAAUAAAAAUUACAACAAUUAAUAACUAGCUUCGAAUUAUAGAAAUACAAACCAGAAUAUCCGAGUUAUUCCUCGUUGACUUUAUCUUUUCCCUUCUUAAUUGAGGUUUCCAUCACAACGUUAGCUACGAAAUUAAAACAAUUAAAAUUCAUUAAUACAAUACCAUUCAAUUUCAAAUUGAAUAUUUUCAAUUUUUAUUCAACAUUUUCCUAAAUUCCAAUUUAGUCCCUAAACCUAGACUAACUUUAUUUCUUUACAAUUAAUCCUAUAUUUUCAUACAAAUUCCACUUUAAACUAAAUUUAACUCUCUAAUUUCACUUAAAUCCCUAAAUUUUUAAAUUUUCACAAUUUAGUCCCUAUUACUCAAAAUUUACAAUUUAUUCUACAAUUCAAUCCUUUUUCAUUUCUAACUUAAAAAUCUAUCAGUUUAAUCCCUAAUACUCAAAUUAUUCAACAUAGUCAACAUUAAAAAACUCUAUACUUUAUAAAAUUUCAACAUAGAUUGGAUAGUAUUUAAUAUCGGGAUUCUAAAAACAUAAAAAUUACAAGAAAAUGGACUAAAUUGACUAACCAAUUGAACUUGGAACCUUAAAACUCUAGUUUCUCCUUUCUUUCUUUCUUUUCUUUCUUUCCUUUCUUUUCUUCCUGUUUUGUUUUCUACUUUGUUCUUUCUAUUCUUUUUCUUUUCUUUAUUUAUUUCAUUUACUUAUUAUUAUAAUAAUAUAAUAUAAUAUAUAUACUUAAAUAUUAAGUAAUACAUAUUUUAUUAAUAUUUAUAUUAUUUUUACACAUGUAAUUACAAUUACCAUACACUUGUUGAAAUAAUGAUUAAUUGCUUCUUUAGUCCUUUUACUUUUCUUUAAUCUAUAAUUCAACUUUCACUCUUUAUGCAAUUUAGCUCUUAUAACUAAUUACCCUUAAUUCAUACAAAUUCACCUAACCAAAACUUAAUUAAUUGCACAACUAGCUUCGUAAAUAUUUUUAAUAAAUAUUUACGAAUCUAUUUUACGAAAACAGAGACCCAAAAAUACACAUUCCAAUAUCCGUGACUAUCGGGUAGUUACAUGGCCGUGUGAAACUCUGCUUCCCAUGUGUAGCUUCCAAACUGUUCCAAUGUUUCGAUUUUCACUCGUUUUUUACCCCUAUUGCUCUGAGGUGCUCUAUUAAGCUUUAAAAUAUGAAUUUAAGGGAUUAAGAAUAUAUAAUUCAUAAUUAACAACACAUAAUCUACUAAAAAUGUAUUAAGAAUGAGGCCAAAAUAUGUUAUUUUUAAUAGUUAUCAUUCAAAUUCUGGAUACAAAAUUAUGAGCAUCUAUUUAUACACAAAAAAUUAGCUAAAUUUAGUGCUUUUGACUUAGGUGUUGUUUGAUAAACUGAAAAAUUAAGUGCUGAAAAAAUAAGUGUUGAAAAAUUAAGUAUUGAAUUUAAAUUAUAAAAUUCUUUGAUCUAUUACUUAAAAUUAAUUAUGAAAUAUAAUUAGAUAGUUUGAUAAAAAUAGAUUUUAAAUUAUAAAGAAUUAAAAUUGUGACACCCUUUACCCGUACCCGAGAUCAGGACAAAGUACAAGGUGUUACCAGACCCAUACCCAGACAUUUCAGAAAAUACGGUUAUAAAAUUUCAUUCUAAUUUAAAACCAAUCAAACAACAUUAUAGUGUCCCCAUUAUGGACCUACAAGGUCCAAAACAUACAUUAAAUCGAUUCGGGACUAAACCGAAAUCUAUAGAAAAUUUUAGUAAAGUUCCUAGGGUUAUGCCUCACAUGCCUGUGUGGAGGCAAGCACACGCCCGUGUGCUUGGGAAUAGCCCGUGUUGAAUUAUUGGAUUUAUUUUUUUUAUUUUGAACCUACAAGGGUUUUCACAUGGCCAAGCACAUGCCCGUGCCUCUAGCUCGUGUCCCUCAUACGGCCUAGACAUGCCCGUGUCAUCGCCCUUGUCCAAAAACUCGAACAUUCUAUUUAUGACAUCAUCAUUCAUUUUGAGGCACAUGGCCAAGGCACACGCCCGUGUGCUAGGCCGUGUCCUCCAUACGGUUGAGACACACAGCCAUGUCUCUGCCCGUGUGUUUACUACCAUGCAAUCUGACCUAAAAUUUUAGGUGCAGGGGUCACACGGCCAAGGAACACACCCAUGGAGGCUGACAGUGUGUCACACACGACCUAGGCACAUGCCCGUGUGUCUACCCAUGUAGACCAUUUUAGGGUUAUUUUCCAAGCCUUUAGUCACCCUCUAACAUCCAUACACAUUUAUAGACUUCAAUGGUAUAUAACAUGGCCUUAUUAUACUUUUAAACAACCUUGUCAUAACUCAUUACAUGUUAGCCUCAUCUCAUCGGCUUAGUACAUGCUAAAUUAUCCUUUUCGUAUGAGGGAUUAACAUAGCUCAUUUUACAUUUAGGCCAUAUUAUAACCAUAUACCAUUACAUGUUAUGUGUAACAGUCCGGUUUUGACCCUAGUUAGAGUAGUGGUUUCGGGACCACAUAUUCGAGUCAAAAAAAUAUUUUAAUAUUAUUUUCCGUGCCUAUAAUAAGUGAAUUGACGUGUUCAAAAAUCUCGUGUGAAAAUUUAACUGUUUGUGUGCUUAAUUUGCAAAAAGGACCUAAUCGCAUAAAAUGUAAAAGUUGUGUGCUAGAUGUUAAAGUACUUAUUUGAUUUGGAUUUGUAAAGAAAGGGUCCUUAUGUUGUUAUUUAUCCAUUGAGAAUGUUAAUGGACUAAAAUAACCAUUCAUUAAAUGGUUUUAUAAAGGUUUAAUAAAGGGCAAAAUAGGUAUUUGAUUAAUAAUUAUAUGUUUAAUAAAAUCAAAGCAUGAAAUUGGCUAUUAUUCAUGUUCAUAGCCGAAAAUAGCAAAUAAAAUAAAAGGAAAAGAACACCUAGGGUUCGGCCAUUUCAUUUCUUGAUUAAGGUAUGAGUUUUGUUCGGUUUUUGAUAAUUUUUACGUUUUUGUAAUCGUUGCUUCGAGUACUAUCUAACCCAUGCUUCAAUUUCUGAUUUUGGUGAUGAUUUUGAAAUGUGUCAUUGAUGAAACUAUGAGUUUUGUGAUGUUAAUUGAUGAAUUAUGGAAGAUUGAUGUUGGGUUUAAAUGUUUUGUCUUUGAAUUUUUGAUGAAAUUGAGUAUUAUGGCUUAAAUUGUAAAAAUGCUAUUUUGAAGGACUAAAAUGUGAAAUAAAUGAAAUGUAUGGACUUGUAUGAGAGUCAUGAAAAUUUUUCUAAGCUUGUGUACAAGGAAACUUUGUGUAUUUUGUGAUUUUGUGAAUUAAGGACUAAAGUGUCAAAAUGUGAAAAUGUGAGGGCUAUUUUGCAAAAUGCCCUAAUUGUAUGUAUAUGGAUUGUUUUGAAUGAUUUGGUGAAUAAAAAGGGUUAAUUUUGAAUACAUAUAGAUCAAGAAAAGAGGAAUUCAAAUUUAGACCGAGGGAAGUCGAAGAUUGUAGAAUAAACGUUCAAGUCGACAAUUCCGAGUACAAGGUAAGUUCGUACAUAAGGCAUGAUGUUUAAGUAUAUUUGAUAUUUUGAUUAUAUAAAGAUUGUAUAUAUUUUUGGUUAGGAUGAGUACGACAAUAAAUCAAUAGUAUUUGGCACUAAGUGUGCGAUUUAAACUAGCUUCGGCUAUAUAAGGCACUAAGUGUGCGAUACCGAUUUAGCUUCAGUUAAUUGAGAUGGCACUAUGUGUACGGAAUUGUUCUAGCUUCGACUAACCUUUAUAGCACUAAGUGUGUGGAUGUUUAAAGUACAAAUAAUUUACGGAAAGUCUUAUAAUAUUCAACGAGAGGUAAGUAUGAAAGUGAAUAAGUACGGGAAGAUUUAGGUAUGUACGAUACCUAAGUGGUAGAUAAUAUUAUGCAUGUGAAGUUCAUUGAAUUGAUAUGGUCAUAUGGAUUGAAAAUGUGUAAAUACUCAUGUGUUGUCAUUUUAUGUUUUAUAUACUGUUGAUGAUUUUAGUACGAGCUUACUAAGCUUUAGAAAGCUUACUUUGUAUGUGUUUACAUUGUUUUAUAGAUAUCGAAGCUACUGCAAGCUCAAGGAUCGUCAAUGAUCGUCACCACACUAUCGAACUUCAUUUUGGUACUUUUUAAAAUUUUAUUUUUGAAGUAUGGCAUGUAUAGGCUAGUAGUUGUAUAAGUAUGUUUUGUGUUGGAUAUGCUUAGCCAUGUAAUUUGACUAAUUUGUGAUUGAAUUCAUAGUUGUGAAUGACUUAUAGUAUAUGAUGAUAAGUUGCAAAUGUGGUAUGUUUUAGUUGGUAAGUUUAAUUGAGAUUUAAUGAGGUAUGAGAGGAAAUGUUUUGGUAUGAAUUUACCUUGUGUUUAGCAUGAAUUGGUAAGGUUUAUGAUUAGGGAAAUGGUUGAUAUUGUUAUGUUAUAAAUGAUGAAUACUAUAGCAUAAAUAUUAGCUGAAUUGGAGGUAGAAUUAUGCUUGUUUACUUUGCUUAUAGGAUGAACCCAUUUGGGGUGGCAAAUUGGCUAUUCAAAUGGUCUAUUUUUGUCCACACGGGUAGAGACACGGGCGUAUGUAUCAAUCGUGUGCGACACACGGCUAUGUUGCACAGUUGUCUGUCUCCUGGGGUACCUCACAAUUGUAAGUCAGGCUCGCAUACGGGCCAGACACACGGGCGUGUGGUCUGCCCGUGUAACCCUUAUUGGUAUGCUGGCGUUAUAAACAUAAUACCCUCUAUUUUUUGCAAGGCCUAGCACACGGCCUAGACAUGGCCGUGUGGACAAGUCAGUAACUAUGCCCUGUUUUGCCACAACUUUGACACAUGGGUGUGUCUAGACCGUUUGAGGCACACGGGCGUGUGACCUUUUAAAAGGUGAAAAUUUUUAUAAAUUCUGAAACUUAUAUAUGUUAUCAAUUGGGUCUCGAAUGCAUGUUUAAGUAUUGUAUACUAAAUUUUAUGUGAUUAUUGAAUGUGAAUGAAGGAUUUUCAUUAUUAAUGAGAUGAUAUUUGUUAUAUGAUGGUUCUGAUUUGAGUUAUAAGUCUGGUAAUGCCUCUUAACCUAUUCCGGUGAUGGUUAUGGGUUAGGGAUGUUACACUAUGUCCACUCUCAAAAUAUUAGGUCCCAUUUCAAGCAUCCAUCCAUGAUAAACCUCAUCAUCAUAUCUCAUGAAAUAUUUAAAACAUAAACAUGCAUCAUUAGUAGGUUUACAACCUAUAUCAAUAUGAGUCAUAUCUCAUGGCUAGAUACAAAAAAAAAAUAGGUAUACCAUUUAAGCCUUUACAUUGGCUAGCCAAAUAACACAUACAACAAAAUAACCAAAAACCCUAUACAUGCCAUUAAACAAAAUAAAAGUAUCUAUAUACCAAAGCAGAACAAGUUGAUAGUAUGUUGAUUCUCCAACCAUCUUCCAAUCUUCACGAGUUCACGAGCUUUGUAAGACAGGGAAAAAAGAAGGGGGUAAGCAUUUAUAUGCUUAGUAAGUUCGAAUAACGGGAAGGUAAACUUACCGGUUAUUUAACAUACAACCAUAUUAGUCAUACAUCCUAUCAAGUAUAGGAUAGUUUCCUAUCACAUGCACUCAAAUCAUCAAGUUAGUCUCAUGUCAAAAUAUUAUAACGUUAAUCUAGAUGAGAUCAUCAAUUCAAGAAUUUACAUUCUUAUUUCUCAUUUUAAUCCCGUUGAAUUUCUCAAAAAUCUCGAUGGAUAGCUCAUUUACCGUCAAUUCCUACAGGCGAUCAUUUUCAAGCAUGCACUCCCACGAACCUCACAUCUUACGGCGGGAUUACCAUUCCAGGCUAAAUCCCCCUUAGAGUGAAUCCAUGAAGUGAUGUCAGGAUUACCAGUUUAGGCUAAAUCCAUUGUAACGACAAACACUCUUAAUGAGCUCGGAUUUAAAUUACCAAUCCAGGCUAAAUCCAGACCCUAAUCGGAUUACCCGUCUGAGCUAAAUCCAUAAUGCACACAUAUUAUUCGAGAGGUUAGGUCACUUUAGGAACACCCGUCCGGGUUAGAUCCUUUCUAUACCGAGAUCAAUGGAUUACCCGUCCGGGCUAAAUCUUUUUUUACAACACAUGUAGGAUCUUGUAUCAUGUAAGAAUGGCGUAUCCAUCAGAUAUCCCUUUUGAUUCAAUUGAGACAUUUUACCAUAUCAUCAAUUUUCAUGAAUUAUUUACAUUGAAAAUCACCAUUUAAAAUCAUACAGGAAUAUACACUUUUAGUGUAUUUAAAUAGUCUACAUUCGAGUUAUACGAACUUACCUGAUAGUCGUUUUGGAUUUAUAUUUUCGUUAUUCCAAAACCUUUCAUUUUAUACAGUCGACCUCAGGAAUUGGUUUCUUAGGGUCUAUAUCAGUAAAAAUAAAUCAUUAAUACCUUACAUUAUUCAAUUUCGGCUAAAACUCACUCUUUUGCCCCUAACUUUUUACAUUUUUACAAAUUAAUCCUUAGGCUCAUAUGAUGAAAUGCAUGAAAUUUUUAGGUUACCCAAGCCUAGCCAAAUAUUUUUAAUGCUUAUAGCAGCCCACAAUUUUCCUUCAUUUCAUAUUUUUCUACCCAUUUUUACAAUUUUUACAAAAUGGUCAUUUAGGCCAUUUCCAUGAAAACUACUUAGUAAAAGUUGUUUACCAUCCUUUAAACUUUGAUAUUCCUCCAUAAAUCAUCAAAACACAAGCAUCUCAUGUAUGGGUAAUUUUCUAAACAUGAACCCUAGCUUGAGAUAUGGGUAGAAAUAGAAAGAGUAUGUUACGAGGAUCUCAAAAAUACGAAGAACAUUAAAAACGAGGCUAAGAUUGACUUACUAUAUAGCUUGAAAUGUUAGAAAACCCUAGCUAUGGAUACCCCUUCAAAUUCGGCAGCAUGGAGAAGAAAAUGAGUAAAUUUUUGCUUGAUUUUCCCUUUUUUAUUACAUUAAUUAACCAAAUGACCAAAAUGCCCUUCCUUACUAACCUUUCCAAAUUUUCCAUGCAUGCCUAUUUUUGUCCAAAAACUUAGAAAUUGUGAAAAUUUCUAUUUAAGGACCUCUAAUUAAUAAUCCAAAGCAAUUUCACACAAAUUGCUUCUAGAACCCAAGUUUUGCAAUUUAUUCAAUUUGGUCCCUAAUUUCCAAUUGGGAACUUUAUACUUAGAAUUUCUUCAUGAAGCUUUAGCACAUCAUAUGUUCAUAUUCUAGACCUCAUGAUAAUCAUAAAAUAAAUAUUUUAACGUCAAAUUUGUGGUCCCGAAACUAUUAUUUCGACUAGGCCCUAUUUCGGGAUGUUACAAAAAUUCUACAGUUUUUCCUUAAAUUUUAAAACAUUUCACCUUCUUCUAAAAUAAAUAAAAUUUUAGAUGUAAAUUUUUUUAUAGGAUAAUAUAAUAUUAAAAUAAAUAAAUUGAAAUUAAAUUAAAAUUAUUCUCCAUUAAGUGAUAAGUAGCUCUUAUCUAUUUAUUAUUUUUCAUAUUUUUUAUAGAAAAAUUCUAUCAAAUUGUUUUUAUUUUGAAUUACCAAACAUGCAUAAAAAAUUAAAAUUGUAGAAUACUACAUCGAUGGUGAACUUCUAGUCACUUGUAUCAACAAUUCUAAAGUAAACGAGGAGUGAAUCCUUGAUUCGAGCUGCACCUUCCACAUGAGUCCUAAUUGGGAUUGGUUUACAACUUACAAAAUAGUGUCUGAAGGUGUUGUUUUGAUGGGAAAUAAUGUUUCGUGUAAAAUUGUAGGUGUAGGAACGAUUAAAGUUAAUAUGUUUGACGGAGUUGUCAGAACACUUAGUGACGUGCGACAUGUUCCAGAAUUGAAGAGAAAUUUAAUUUCGUUAAGUACUCUUGAUUCAAAAGGGUACAUAUGCACAGUUGAAAGUGGGGUUUUGAAGAUUUCCAAAGGUUCCCUUGUUAUGAUGAAAGGGAAGAGAAAUACUGUUAAGUUAUAUGUUUUGUAGGGUUCUACUAUUACCGGUGAUGCAGCUGUUGCUUCCUCUUCCUUGUCAGAUGAUGAUAUUACUAAACUUUGGCAUAUACGCCUAGGGCAUAUGAGUGAGAAUGGCAUGGUAGAAUUGAGCAAAAGAGGACUUCUUGAUGGGCAAGGAAUUUGCAAACUGAAGUUCUGUGAGCACUGCGUUUCUGGGAAGCAAAAGAGAGUUCGAUUCACCAGAAGAAUCCAUAACACGAAAGGAACGUUGGAGUAUAUUCAUUUUGAUCUGUGAGGGCCAUCAAGAGUGCCUUCGAGAGGUUGAGCUGAUUAUAUGCUAACUUUUAUUGAUGAUUUUUCCAAAAAAGUUUGAACAUUUUUCCUGAAGCAGAAAAGCGAUGUGUUUUCUGUAUUUAAGUCUUGGAAAACUAUGAUUGAAAAACAAACGGGAAAACAAAUAAAAUACCUCUGCACAGAAAAUGACUUAGAAUUCUGUUCUAAUAAGUUUAAUAAACUGUGCAAGUCAGAAAGGAUCAUGAGACACUUGACAGUUCAUCAUACUCUACAGUAAAACGGCGUUGUAGAACGAAUAAACAGAACGAUCAUGGAAAAUGUUAAAUGUAUGUUGUCAAAUGCCAACUUACCAAAUUUGUUUUGGGCCGAAGUAGCCUCUACUGUAUGUUUUUUGAUCAAUCGAUCUUCAUCCGUUGUCAUUGAGAAAAAGACUCCACAAGAGGUAUGGUCUGGUAAUCAUGCUGACUAUUCUGAUUUAAAAAUCUUUUGGAUGUUGUUUUUGAUGAAAUUGCUAUGCUACCUAACUUAUCUCUUAAAAACUCUUCCAAUAAAGAAAAUCAAAAUUAGGUGAAGCAUCAGAUUAAUCCAAAAUCUACAAUAGAGUCAACUCCUCAAACCAGUACAAAAAUUCAAAAUAGAGUUACUUCUUCACCAAAAUACUCUAUCGCCAAAAAUAGAACUAGAAUAGAAAUUAAACCUCCAAAGAAGUAUGCCGAGGCUGAUCUAGUAGCUUAUGCUUUAAAUAUAGCUGAAGAUAUAGAUGCAAACUAAGAGCCAUCUAAUUAUUCUGAGGCGGUUAGCUGUGAAGAUUCAAAAAAGUGGAUGUUUACUAUGCAAGAGGAGAUGGAAUCACUCCACAAAAAUAGAAUAUGGGAUCUUAUGAAACUUCCUAAAGGUAAAAAAGGUUGUUCGUUGUAAAUGGGUGUUUAAAAAGAAAGAAAGAAUUCUAAGAGUUGAAGAAAGCAAGGCUUGUUGCAAAGGGUUACAAUCAGAUUCUAGGAGUGGACUUCACAGAUGUGUUUUCCCCAAUUGUGAAGCCCAGUUUGAUUCUAGCUUUGCUUGGUAUUGUGGCCAUGCAUGAUUUGGAGCUUGAGCAGUUAGAUGUAAAAACUGCAUUUUUGCAUGGAAAACUUGAGGAAGAUAUUUACAUGCAAAAACCAGAGGGUUUUAUAAUCUCAAAAAAAGAGGACUAUGUUUGCUUGCUGAAAAAGUCCCUUUACAAUUUGAAACAGUCACCAAGACAGUGGUACAAGAGGUUUGAUUCCUUUAUGACUUCUCAUAAUUUCAAAAGAAGUAGCUUUGACAGUUGUGCUUACUUUAAGAAAAACAUCGAUAGUUCUUUUGUGUAUCUACUCUUUUAUGUUGAUGACAUGUUGAUGGCAGCGAAAGAUAAAGGAAAAAUAAGAAAGGUUAAAGCCCAACUAAGUGAAGAAUUUGAGAUGAAAAACUUGAGACCAGCAAAGAAGAUACUUGGUAUAGAGAUUCUCAGAUAUAGAAAAUCAAGUAAAUUGUACCUAAGUCAGAAGGGGUACGUUGAAAAAGUUUUUUGCAAGUUCAAUAUGCAGAGUGCUAAGCCUGUUAGUACUCCUUUAGCAAUCCAUUUUAAACUUUCAUUGGCUUUGUCUCCACAAUUAGAUGAUAAGAUUGAGCACAUGUCACAUGUUUCAUACUCUAGUGCAGUGGGAUCUCUCAUGUAUGCUAUGGUUUGUUCACGUCCAGAUUUAUCAUAUGCAUUUAGCACAGUUAGCAGAUACAUGGGGAAUCCCGAUAAAGAAUAUUGGAAAGUAGUUCAGUGGAUUUUAAGAUACUUACGAGGUACUACCGAUGUUUGGAAAAACUAGAGAUAGAGUCAUUGGGUAUGUUGAUGUUGAUUUUGCUAGAGACCUUGAUAGAAGAAGACCUCUUACAGGUUAUGUCUUUACAAUCGGAGGUUGUGCAAUCAGUUGGAAAGCCAUUUUGCAAACUAUAGUCACUUUGUCUACCAUUGAAGCUGAGUACAUGGUGAUUAUUGCGGCUUGUAAAGAAGCUAUUUGGUUGAAGGGACUCUUUAGUGAACUCAAUGAAUACCUUCAAAUCAAUACAGUAUUUUGUGGCAGUCAGAGUGCCAUCUUCCUUACAAAAGAUCAAAUGUUUCAUGAGAGAACAAAACACAUUGAUGUUCGAUAUCAUUUUGUUCGUGAUAUUAUUGCUCGUAGUGAUAUUGUUAUGAGCAAAAUUAGUACUCAUGAAAAUCCUGCAGAUAUGAUGAUUAAGUCACUUCCUAUAACUAAGUUUGAGCAUUGCUUAAACUUGGUUGGUGUUCAUUGUUGAAGUUAAACCCUUAAGGGGUUUUAUGGAAGAGGUGGAGAACUUGUUCGUUGAGAGUUCGCGAUGAAGAACUUAUUCAUUGAAAAUUCAUGUCAAGGUGGAGAUUGUUAGAAUUAAGUGACCCGAAUCCUUAUUUAAAUAAAAUACAGUGGUAAAAUAAAAUAAAAGUAAAAUCUCUAUAGAACUACACUUCUUUUAUUUUAUUUUAGAAUAAGGUUUUUUAAACCUUAUUAAACUCCAUCCAUUUGAUAUUGAUUUAAAUAAGGUGUUUCAAUCUUACUACACUCCUAUUAGAAUACGAUUUUACAAGCCUAUAAAUUGACAGUCUAUUCCUCUUGUAAUUAAUUCGAAUUCGACAUAGUGAUUUUUUUCUUCUCUGCCCGUGGUUUUUUCCCGAAAUAGUUUUCAUGUAAAAAUUUGUGUGUUGUUUAUUUUAUUUCUCUUUUCUUUGCGAUAUAUUAUCAUUACCGACGUUCUAUUUUUUUUUACAGAAAGCUUAUCAAAUAAAGAUACAUCAUUUUAUAUAUAAAAAAAAAGUCCACUAAAUUAUUCUUUUAUUUUUAUUUAUACUAAUAAAUUAUUGACACUAAAAAUAAUUUUUUACUUAAAAUUAUCUUUAAAUUAAUUAAUUUUAAAAUAUAAUAAUUUUAAUAAAUAAUCCAGCACGACCAAAUCUAAUAAUGAUAAAACAAAUUUAUUGUAAUAGAGACUAGAGAGGCAGGCUUGUUGCUACACAUCUUCUGCCCGAUAAAUUAUAUAGGCAUAAUUUACUGUUUAAUUCUUAAAGUAUAUUUAAUUUUCCACUUUGGUACUGAAACAUUUGUUUUCUAAUUUGGUACCUUAAGUAUCAAUUUUCUCUAUUUUUGGUCAAUUUUGUAAGGGCCUUUAAGAAAAAUCUAUUAACCCACUUUGGCCAAUGGAAAAGUACAAUGUGACUUAUUUUGACAAAUGAAAAAAUACCACAUGACAAUUAAAUUUUUUUAAAAAUAAAAAUAUUAAAUUUUAUUGAUAACAAAUAUAACAAUAUACACCACGUUUCCUUUUUUAAUAUUAUAUAUAUUAUAUUGAUAAAAAUUGUAAAAAUUUAUAUUAAUAUAUAAAAAUUUUAAGAAAAUAUUUUUUAUAAAAUUCUAAAAUAUAUAAUUAUAAAUUUUAAAAAUUCAAAAUAAUAUAUAAAAAUUAAUUUUUUAUGAAAAUUAAAAAUGUAUUUAAAUUUCAAGUAAUUGCAAAAGAAAAAAAACUUGAAAUUUAAAUACUUUAUAGAAUUUUAUAAAAGAAUUUUAUUUUCAAACUUUUCUAAAUAAUUUUUACAUUUUUUUACAUUUUUUGUAAUAUAUUAUUAAUUUCAACUAAUUUCUUUUUAAUUAUCGUAUUUUUUGUAAAUUUUAUUUUUAUAAUUUUUUAUAAUUUAUAUUUUUUCUAGAUUAUAUAUAUUUUCCUAAUUGUUAUAUAUUUAUUUUUGUUUCAUGUUUUUUAAUGAGUAUAUAUGUUUAAUGAAAGAAACUAUUUAUUUUUUUACAUAAAAUCUCCACUUUGUGAUUGGUCAUUAGAUUCUUUUUAACGUCUGUCAAAAAAUGAAUUAAAAAAUAUAACGAAAGCAUAUCUUAGAUUCAAAUUGAGAAGUGAUUGAUAUUUUAAAUAUCAAUUAGUAAUAAAAAAAUUUAGAUAUCAAAAUAGAAAAUUGAGUAUAACUCAAAGUCCAAAUUGUAAAGUAAGCCAAUUAUAUAAUGUGAAGGAUCCAUUUAAAAACCUGAACUGAAGGCCCACACUGAUCCACUAUAUGAUAACAGGAUUUUCCAUCAAUUUGUUAGUUAUAGAGUUUUUUUUUUUGUUAAAAUAUAGCAUAAGGACCUUAACUCUUUAUAAAUUUUAGAAUUCAGUCUUUUUAUUUUUUAGAUUUUAAUUAAUACAGUUAAAAUUAUUUUGUCAAAUUUUAGUUUAUUACAAAGUCAUCUUUUUAGUUAUAUGACUAUGAAGUAAGGUUUUUUAUUUUCAAAUGUCACAUCAAUAAAUUUUUUAAAAAAUAUUUGUAUUAAUAAUUGAACUUAAAUUUUAAAAAUUUUAAAAAAUAAAGAGAUUAAAUUUGUAAAAGUAAAGAUAUAAGGAUUAAGUUGUAAAUUUGUGUAACCAGUUCCCCACCUUCGUUGAAUAUGAUAAUCGAGUAAAAAUUCAAAUUCAUGAUAUUUUUUUCAGGAAGAAAAUAUUAAACUUUAAAAUUCCCCCAGAAUAAACAGAUGGAAAGGCAACAUCCAAUGAAAAACAAGCAAGAGACGUGUGUUAAUCCCAACCAGUCCCGUUACUGCAAAAACAAGUGGAUAAAAUUGGAGCAAACAUUUUAAUAUCAAAACUGCCACUAUGCCCAUCUGAACCAGCUUCCUCUUCUUCGUAACAACAAGAAACCAAACCACUACCUGUAAAUGGCAGUGCCUUCACUCUCCUCUUUAUCCAUCAACCCUCUAAUUAGUAUUUCUUCUUCUUCUUCUUCUUCUUCUUCUUCUUCAAAAGCUUCAUCCCGCCAUCUUCCCUCAUUCUCAAAACGUUUUGGCGUCUAUUGCCAGGUUAAUAAUUCAGAAAUCAAAGCUCGAAUUAGCGGUGAGUAAAUGAUAUCUUGAUUCUGCUUGUUCGUUUCAUCAAUUAUUAUUAUUAUUAUUAUUAUUAUUAUUAUUAUUAUUAUUAUUAUCAUUUUUAGGUACUCAAUUUUAACAUAGUUUUCCUUUGAAAAAGGAAGAUUGUUCCAACAAUACGUAUGAAGUUAGGGAUGCUAAGUUUAAGAUCUGGAAACCCUGGCUUUCAACAGCAUUGGCAGCAGCCAUAGUUGUUUUUGGCUCUGAUAUCUCUGCUAUGGCUGAACUUAAUAAGUUUGAGGCAGAAACUCGUGGUGAAUUUGGUAUCGGAUCUGCUGCACAGUUUGGUUCUGCGGAUUUGAAGUGCGUUUUAUUACAACAUCUAAAUUAUAUGCUCAACAUCUCUGUUUUUGGUUUAGGAAGGGUUUGAUUUUCUGUCUUAUGUCGUGCAGAAAAGCUGUUCACGUGAACGAAAAUUUCAGGUAACUUUUCAAAGUAAAGAAUUUCAAUUACUUCUUGGCAAUCAAACUGAGGAUUCACUAGUGCUCAUAAUCAAUCCGAAAUCUAAAUGGUUGAAACAGAAGGGCAAACUUCACAUCUGCUGAUAUGAGGGAAUCUGAUUUCAGUGGUUCAACCUUCAAUGGUGCAUACCUUGAGAAAGCAGUUGCAUACAGAGCAAAUUUCACAGGUAAAUUUUCUGCCAAACGAAAUUAGUUUACUUCAUCCAUGAUAAUUUGUAACACAUACAAGUACACAUAAUGACAAUUUUUUUUUCCAUCAAAUCAAACAAAACUAAAUGAAAAUUAUAAUCUAUUUGUAACUCAUGAAAUUAUCUAGAAGCUCGAACUUGCCCAACUUUGGAGAAAAGUCUUCUCUCUUUUCCUUUUGUUUGUAUCCCUGGUUGUGCUAGACCUGGAGGCGCUUCUCUUUUUACUCCUUGGGCUAUUUGGUACCCUCUUUUCUGUAGUAUUUGGACAUUGGCUUGAUAAGCUUUCAGAGUUCUGGCGAGAAUUUGUGGAGAAUCUUUCUGAAUCACUUUGUGCUUCAAGUAAGGGAUCUUCUGCAUCAGACAGCUUAUGACUAAAUCCUUUCAGCUUAAAACUAGUUGAUUCCAAGAUACCCUCCUCCCUAUUUGGGGAACCCCUUCCUCUAUAGCCAUUGGGAGAACCAGAAGUUGAAUCUAUUGUGUCGAGUGGAGACGUGAAGUUGGAUGCUAUUUCCUCUGUUAAAUCCAUAGCUUCAUGCUCAGAAGUUUCUGAUAGAUCAUUAAACUCCACUGAGCCUCUAACCUUUGGCAUAUCCCUUCCUUCUUCUGAUGAAAUAAGGCUAAUGUUGUUACACAGGAAUAAUGGCGUCCCUAGAUAUCAAACCGUACCCGGACUCCAAUUCAUCUUUAUACUGAAGGUUCCGCUUCCAUUGAUUUUAUCGAUUCAAGUUUUUUCUCAUCAUAACUGGGGCUAGAGUAUUGACCUUCAGAGCAUGGAGUUUGAAACUUUGUUGGUGGAGUAGGAAAAUCCCGGACAGCCACGACCCUUUUGUGGGGUUUAUAGCCUUUAGGCAAAACUUUCUCAGGUGAUUCCGAAGCUUCAUCAUCUGAAAUUGUGAACACGUCAAUGGGAUUCGGAUUUGGGGUACCUUCAGAAAUUGUGACCGCGUCAAUGGGAUUCGGAUUUAGGGUACCCAAAGCUUCGUCAUCUUUUCUUUCGACUCCCUUCGGGGAAAUAGAUUGAAGCGCAUUAUAAAGUGGCGAAACCACCAAAGCCUCAGGUUCUGAUGAACAAUAAGACGAGGUAGGGCUAGACGUCUCCGAGUCAUCUAAAUGAUGUGCGCAUUCGUAUGCAAAUCUCUGCCACAGAGCAAAAUCCUUAGGAAAAUCAUAUCCAGCUUUUCUUUCUAUUUGUUCUCCCAAAGUUUCUUCGGGAAGAGCACGAUUGUUUUGCGAGACCAUUGUCGGUUGUGGGUGAUUUCAGUACUGAGGGUAAUUUGAAAAAGGAAAAUCAAUAUGAAUAUAUAAGAGAAGAUAGCUACAAAACCGGAAACAAAAGGCAAAAACCUUGAUUAAUCUUUAAAGUUGAAAGAAAAGCAAAAAGCAUACCUCGGGAUUUAGGGUUAACAAGAUAUCGGUGAAGGCAAUGAAACGUUAUAUAGACCUUACGUUCCUUGUGUUGCAAGUAGGUUUUAGAGUGUUGGGUUAAUGUUAGAAUCAUAGUCGGUAUUGGAAUCAGAUUAACUCGAGACCCUAAAACAAUUCAAAUUAAAUCGGUAUCUACCAUAAUUAUGUUUAUUAUAGUAAUGCAAGAACUUUAACGUGAAAAAGCUUUAAAUUAAUUUAUUUAUUAUUAUGUUUCCAAUCUACGGUAAUUAUUUUAAAUUAAAUUAUAGAUUUAAAUUUUAAAAGUGUAUCAUUUAUAUAUUUGUAAUUUAUUCUCUAUAUUUUUUAUUUUUAAAAUUUUAGUUUUUCUGUUUUAGACUUUAAGAAUUUAUGUUCAAUUUUUUAUUAAAUUUAUUUAUGCGAUAUUCUAAUUUUAAAAAAAUGCCAGACCUAAAUCCAACACAUUCUUAAAAUUCAAGUAAGUAUUUUAAUUAAAAUAAAAUAUUUAGAUUAAAUAAUAGUACUAUAAAUGUUGAGGUACUGCUAAAAUUUAAUUUUUAAUAAAUACUAAUCUUAGUUUUGAACUGGAAUCAAAAUUAGAUCAUUUUUAUAAGUAAAGGGGCCAGAGUUUAAAUUGAACUAGUAUGUUAGCAAUGUAAAUGCAUAUAAAAAUAAUAGUUGAAUUUUAAAUUAGUAUUUCCUUUUAAGUAAAGUGAUAUUUCAUAAUUCUACAGGUGCUGAUCUUAGUGACACAUUAAUGGAUCGCAUGGUAAAGUUUUCCAAACUUUGGUCUCUCAUCAUUUGAGCAGAUGUUUGGGUAAUAAAUAAAGAAGUUGAAAAAAUUGAUUUGGUUCAGGUUCUCAAUGAGGCUAACCUUACAAAUGCUGUGCUAGUAAGAUCAGUCCUCACCCGAAGUGAUCUGGGUGGUGCCCUGAUUGAAGGCGCAGAUUUCAGUGAUGCUGUUAUUGAUCUUCCUCAAAAGCAGGUACUUAAUUCUUUACAUUAUUUUUUUUCUUUAUGUAUAUCUUCCAUUUCUAUGCAUGAAAUACUAUAAAAUGGGAUUGACUAUAUAUUUUAUUUAUUAAUGAUUAAACAAUAAUAUCUGAAUAGUGAAUAUUAACGGCUUAUAAAUAUAUUCUUAAAAAAUUUAUUUAAAUAAUUAUCAUAAAAUUAAUUUAUAUUUAUUAGUAAAUUUUAAUUAAAUAUUAUAUAAGUUGAUUUUUGGAACUCGGUACUCAAUUUGAAUUUAAGGUAAAAAUAUCUUUCCAAUCUCUAAAAAUUUCAAAUUUAAGUAAAUUGAUCCCUCUCAAAAAAAUUGGAGCAAUUUAAGUCCUAUUAAUUUUGGAAGCAAGUAAGUAAGGACAAUUAAUCACGAUGUUAAUAUUUUUUUGUCAAUUGUACCUAAUUUUGAUUGGUGUAAUAACAAAUUUAGUUUUCGAUGUUUACUUGUCUUGUGUAAAUGUUGGCCGAAUGUGUAAAUUUUGCAAGUUAAAAUUUGAUAAAUCAAUACCAACAUGACAAAAUGUGUAAAUGUUGUAGGUUAAAUUUGUUAAAUUAAGACCAAAUUGACAAAAUGUGUAAACUUUUAAAGUUAAAUUGGUUAUUAUAUCAAUAAAAAUAUGUACAAUUGACAAAAAAGGGUUGUGAUUAAUUGUAUUUAAUUGCUCACAUUUGAAAUUGAUAUUGAUCAAAUUGCUCUAAUUUUUUUAAAGGGACUAAUUUGCUUAAUAUUGAUUGAGAGGGGCUAAAGAGGUAUUUUUACCAAAGUUUAAUCAUGAAAUUGGAUUUACACUGCUAUUGAUGUGUACUAGGUUGACACGGCCAUUGAGUUCUUUAUCAGUGGGGACGUUGCCGUUACCGCAAAAUAGCAAACGCAACACCGCCAUUACUAGAUAAAUAUUUAAGCUUUUGUUCUGCCCUAAAAGCAGAGCCAGUAAGAGAUAACCAUCAGUUUAAAUUAGGGGAAAAGCAGGGUCGGUGAUGAUUUCAUGGAUUCAUUUUUGUGUCACUCAAGAUAGUUAAUGUGCUCUAGUUCAAGAACAACAAAGAAUAGCAUUAAAAAACUUAAAAACGAAUCUGAAUCUCAUUUUUUUUUUCAGAUUUCAGAUACUUGAUAGGCUUGUCUACAUCAGGGUCUAACGAAUCCAUAUCUAUAGGUCUAAAAAUCUGCAACUGAAAGAUAACCAGGAUGCCCAAAGUCAAGGAUAUUAUUAGAUUGAGUAGAGGUUAUUUUUAGAAUUGGGAAUGUAUACAUAUUUUCGAGCUUUUUAAAGCUUCAUUUAUAUUUUCGAUGAUUCAUUUAUACUCCAAUUUCUAAUACUCUGUGAGCUCCUUUUUGUUUAUUUUUCCCAAAUAAUUUAUGGGUUUGCUUACGUAGGCUCUCUGCAAGUAUGCAAAUGGCAAAAAUCCAAUAACUGGGGUAAGCACCAGAGCAAGCUUAGGAUGUGGAAACAGUCGACGAAACGCUUAUGGUUCCCCUUCCUCUCCUCUGUUGAGUGCUCCACCUCAAAAAUUGCUAGACCGGGAUGGUUUUUGUAACAAAGAUACUGGCCUUUGCGAAGCCAAAUAGUCUUACCUCUUAACCAUACGCAAGGAUAUCUCAUAGGCACACUCUUGGUGGUGCGGGGAACAAAACAUAUGCUUUUGUGUUGUCAUAUGAUGUUUCUUGGAUAAAAGUUAAAAAACUUGUCAUCAACAAUACCAUGAGUUUAAAAUUGGAAUUUGGGUCAGUUUUUAACUAGAAUUAUGUUGUUAAAAUCCUUAAAUUUAUAGCUAUGCAGCACAACCGUAUUGUCAUUUUGGUGUAAAAUUUCAUCUGUCUGAUAAAGUGAAAUGUCGAGAAGAUUUCUGCCAUUCUGAAAGCUUAUGGCUUCCUUAAGAUCUAAGAGACAUUGAUAUGGAUCAUCUUCUGUCUCAACUGUUACUUCAAAAUCUGCUGUCCUAAUGAAAAUAGCCUAACCCCUAUUAAAUACCACGAAUAGGUUGAAAAGGUGAGACUUACUUGACAGGUUCAUGCUAUCAUUUUGCCUAUGCACUCUUUAAAUCGUCAAAUUGUGGCUUCACACCACUUUCUAUGAUCGUGGGAUGGCCAUCUGAGUGGAGCACUAGAGAGAAUCUACCUUAUGGCAACCAUCUCGAUGCAUUUUAGGCAAGACUAGCUUCAAAAGAUGUUUGCAGAAUACAUAUAUAUAUAUUGAUGCGAGCAACUCAGUCCAAUUAAAAGGUCAUAAUAGAGAUGAGUUUAAUUUCUCUCAAUGCCCAGUUACGAGAUCCAAAUCUAAACAGAUAAAGUUAAAAUUCAACUUAGUUGUUCAAGACUUUAUCACGAAGACGAUGAAUUUUGGAGUAAUGAUGAAUUAGAAAAGACUAAUUAUGUUCGUGGACUUAAACUCUCAAUCUAUGAUAAUAAGCCCAUGUAAAAAAUACUAACAAGCUUAGACAUUUCACUUCAAGAGCGCCAAUUGAUUAUAGGGUUCGAGUUUUAGACUUAAUUUUUAUUAUAUAUGAGUCCAAUAUUUUAUUUAUCAACUUUUAUUAUUUUAUUAUUAUUUUAUUCUAAAAUUUUAAUAAUUAUUAAAAAUUUUAAGUUAUUUAGAAGUUUAUGUUAACAAGAAAGUUUAGUUUAAAACUAUUUAUAUAGAUUAAAUUAGAGUUCUAAUAUACUUAGAAUUUUAUUUUGAUUUAUUUAGCUAGUCUAUAUUUAGGCCUUUACAUUGUAUAGAAUACAUUUAAUUCAUUAUUAUUCUAUUAUUUUAUUUCUUUUUUUGAGUUAAUGCCAAGGUUUCUAUUUUGGUGGAAAUUAGAGCAGCUUGAAGGGAUGGUGGAUUCUUUGUAUUCUAUUAUAUAUAUAUAUAUAUAUGUGUGUGGGGGUUAAUAUCACUGAUAGCCGAGAAGUUUAGUAAAUUUGUCAAAGUGAUACUUUACUCCUUUGUCCUGACUUGGCAGAUUUAUCCAAUGACUAUUUUGUUGGUCAAGGUCCUACCUAAUAGGAUUGUUGAUCCUUGGAAGCUACAUUCCUCGUUAGGCGACUUGUUCCUAAACUGUUAGUUGGCAAUGUAGGAAGUUCGGGUCUUGCUGGUCUUGUGUUUUCUUUAAGCUAUAGUCUGAGUUCUAUAUGACUGGCCUGUUUUAUCUGCUGGUAUAUCAAAUACUAUAUAACCUAGAAAGAUCAUCCAUGUACUUGCAAUUGCAAAACCAAUCAUUAGGGUCGCACUAUUUUCCCAUAUAAAUACUAAAGCCCAAUUUGUUCCAUCUUAUCCUCAUCCGUAGUGGUUGGAUGGCCAUGACCUUAAGUGGAGCACUAGAGAGAUUCUGCCUCGUGGCUGCCCAUCUGAAUGACGUUUAAUCAGGCGAGGCCAUGCUUUCCCUCGCAGUUUAAGUGACAGUAGCGGAUUUAACAAGUGUUGAGGGUGUCUAAUGAAAUUUCAAGACAACAUAGAGGAACCUAUCUCUGCUCUCAAGUCAAGCAUGGAUCACUUCGUAAAGAAAUCAAUCAAGAUCCUUCAAAUUUAUUGUUUUGUCUUUGUUCUAGUGGACCCGCAGACACAACAUCCAAAACAAAGAAGAGCUAAACAUUCAUAAUUGAACAAAAGGUUGUUUGUUCCUUUUAUGGCUAACUUUCAAGUGUUCCAAAUCAGGGCAAGCCCCCACUUUCACCUUCUUUUUUAAUGUUCUCCUACUCAUUUCAAUUUAGGGAAAACAGUAUGAAUCUAAACUAGCAUGUGCAAGAAUUAUGAUUAUCAUACAACAUAAGUAACCGUAUAGGAUAAAAAUUAUAGCUGCCACAGUUUGUUCCAAUACGUAUACGAUCUGCAUAUUCCUAUAGAUUAAUGCCAAUCAUUGACUAAAAGUUAACUAUUCUGAUGAUUUUUCUGUAGGUUUAUACACAUUUUUUUUAGGAUUCUCCAAAUGGCCCUAUUUAUGAGGACAAGGAAUAUUUCCUGUGUAUUCAUAAUUCUACUCGUCAGCUAUAUGUAAUACUGUCUGUAUUGUGAAUAAAUACUGCUUGCACUCAAAUCUUUGUUUAUUGCAACCUGAACUUGGCAUAAAUGCAGUUAAUCAUUUCAUGUUAUUUAUGCAAGUUAUUUUAGCUAUCAACUUUUUACCUUAUUACGAUAUUGCAUUAUGGGUUAUAUUUACUGCAUGUUACUACUAAGUUGCUGACUAGAUGAAUUUUGAGUUACAAAUAAAUAAAAAUAUAACUAAAAGUAAAAUAAUUACGUUGUUCAAAACCUUUUCCUACAUUUGUGAGAUUUGGUUUAAAGAGCAAUCCAUUAUAAUUCAAUAGUAUAAAAUGUUAUUUAACUCAAUUUGCUAAUCAUGUGCAGCAUUACUACUAUGCAAUUAUCUUGAUUCACUCACUGUUAAAAUUUUUCCGUUGAAAGCUUAAUCACAAUUUGAUCAUAACAACAUAUUUACAAAUCCAAAAUAAACUCAACACAAAUUCCUCUAUUAAACAAAUUAGUGCACUUUCUAAAUUGUAAAUAAAACAAUAAAAAAAUCUUGAAUAAAUUGAGAGUUGUAGACUUGAAAAACCAAACUAGUAUAAUUGAAAUAUACCACCAAAGUUUCACUCAAUUAAGCAUUUGAGAUGACAAUAAAAAAAAAGAGACAUUCAUAAAAUAAACUUUUAGGAAUCUAAAUCUCUUUAAAUAAGAUAAGUAAAUUAUACUAGGACUUCUUGAAAAUAAUCUUGUUUGAUUGAAUAUAUUAAAUCAAUUAUAAUUUUAAAAAUCGUUAUUUAAUAUUUUUGAAAAUUGCUUAAAAAUAAUCAAAAUAAUUGAGUCUAAAUGGUAAAUUGCAUUUCGUCCAGGUUGUAACUAUAAACAUUGACACAUACAUGCGUAAUUGCAACUAACGUUAUAACUAGCAACAUUGACAUAUGCAUGACUAAUGAAUCUAAUGCUGAAGACGUAAACUACCAUAAUUUUACUACACCAUUAGUAAACAAAUUAUAAAAGAAAAAAUUAAAACUAAAUUCAGUUGAAUUCAAUUUAAUCCUCUAGUUAAUUAUUAUGAUCUAAACAAGUACAAUUGCGCCCAGAAGUUCAAUUAUUCCGGUAAAUAAUUAGUCAAAGUAAAAUAAAAUGAUUUAGCUGAAUUGCAAGGUUAAACUGGCUUAAACUUAUUCAAUUUAUGAGCUUGCCAGCUCAAUAAAGCAAGGGAAUUUCAGACAGUAUGGUCCACGAGCUUGAAAUUAGAAAGAAAAUCCUUAGUGCCUGGAGGUUUUUGAAACAUUUUUUAUUCUUACAAUAUAUUAGCAAUUUCCUAAAGAGAUAAAAGGCUAAUUGAGACAUAAAAAAGAGAUUAAGUACAAGUCCAGACUCCGGGAAGUGUGGAGGCUUGGAAUUUGGGAGACUAAUAAUAGUGCCUCACAUGGAGUUUUUGUUUCACAUGCUCAAUGAUGUUAUCUUACUUAGGCUUCAAACAACAGUUUUAUUGACUCCUAAUUAUUCAGUCACACCUAAAAACAUCAAUGUGCCAAUGGCUUCCUUGCUACGGACUAUGGCAGCCUCUCUCUCUCUCUCUCAUAUUUACAUUUGGUUCAGAGAAAAUGGAUGAUUAAUUCUUCACAAGUGAACAAAUUUAGAGAGGAAGCCAUGAAAGGGCACUGCAAAUAAAAACCCCAAGGAGAAAAGACUAAAAUUUCACGUCAAACUUAGUCAGAAAAAGAAGCACUUGCUUAUUAUUCAUUCUGCUACUUUCCAAUGAGGAACCCUUGGGCUAAGCAUGCCUACCUACAGGUUAGAAGUGUUUCAUUAUGAGUCCCUGAGACACGCCCAAUGAUUGUGUCCCUUGGAAAAUUUUUAUUGCUUUAAAGGGAUUUUCAGGCUUGACUUCAACUAAGUAAAAGGAUGUUGUCCAAGUGAAUAACAACCCAGGUAUUGUACUGCUUUUCUUGCCGGUUUGUCCUGUUAUCCCAUUAUUACUAGAUGCCUAAAAGCUUGUUUCCAUUACUUGAGGUAUUUAAACCAAGCUGGUAGUUCAUGUGGUCAGUGGACAAUUGCAGUCACCCUCUCCCGUACUUUUCUUCCAACUAUGCUUGCUCCUUCAAGUGUUGAAACCCUAGGAGGUCAUCGUCAAGGCCUUAGCAGCAGAGAUCCAUCACUGUUCCGCCUCAAGUUUAAUGACGUUUUCCAUGUCAAAUAUAUUUUGUCUUAUGCUGCCUUCAACUCUUCAUGGUAUUUCCAAUCUCUAUACUUUAUACAUAUAUAUGGGUCUGCAGUUUCCUAUAUAUGAUUCCCUAUCUCAUAUUUUCACGUCCAACUCUUUGCAGAAAGAUCUAAAGAGUCUGCAAAUCUGAAGGACUCCAUCUUAUUCCAUCUUCUUGAACAGGUAUGUAGCUACACCUAAGGUAUCCUGCUAGUAAAGAUUAUUCCAAUUAUGAUUUUUUUCCCUUUCUGGGUGCAACAUGAAAGAAAAACUUAAUUCAAUCUAUUUGUAUUUCUCCAUAAACUUUUAGCGAAAAAUAUGUGAAUAAAGAAUGGCUGAAUAAAUAUUAGCAUCUAAAUUGAUUAUUUGUUAAAAUCUGGGAAGUAACAACAAAUUUUUCAUUAAAAUACACAUGCAUCCUCUCUUAUCUCAGAUUUGGUGGUGUAUUAUUGCAUCUGCCACGCUUUCAUUAUCAUUAUAGCUCAACAUACACAGUUUUUUAAUUCAUCAUCAAGUACUUCUGCUCAGCAAUUAAAACUAUUAUAUUAGAAACAAGAAGGAUAAAGCUUUUGCUUACACCCAUCAGCCUUCAGAAGAAAACGUACGCAUACUAUCACAAUUAUAACAAGACCACAUCAAAGACAGGACCAAACUCCAAAACACUCAACUUCAAGAACCUGCAUAUACUGUGCACAAGCUGAGUCAACCACCACAAACAUUGCCUGUAGGACUGAUAUAGCUACAAGCAUGCCAUUUUUUUUUUCAAUUUUAUUAACUCUCUGAACUGCUGGCAUUUAGCUUAUCUUCAUUGCACGUAUAAUUAGUUAAAUACUACAAUACUAAGAAAUGAACUUAAGAUAAGGUCUCAUUUAGCUUGAGAUGCAUAGUGAGUGUCAAACUUUUUUAUUAUUAUUAUCAAAGAGGAUUGAAUUAAUUAACUUACUGAAGUGAAAAGUAAACCAUAAAAACAUAAAUGAAAGUUGCAAUAUUUGCAGAAGCAUUACCAACUUGUAAACAUAUAUGAUCUAAGAAGAAGAUAGAAUACUGUAAGAAACCCUUCAUAUAAUUAUAUAUUAAGCUGCGUAAUACAUUCGAUAUUAGGUCUAGUCAAUCCCAAAAGGGCGCUCGACCAAAGUCCAUCAUCUAAAAGUACUAGUUUAUUGUACUUGCAUGAUGUUCAAUCUAAUAAUAUCUGCAUAUGCCUUGUAUAAAUCAAUACAUAUUAAAGGCACCAGCAGUCCCAUAGCUAAUGAAAUUCCAUUAUAGUUUUAUUAUAUACAGCAACCUGGAUUAAAGACUUCUUUUCUUUUAAGUUUGCUACCUAUAAUUAAUUGGUAUAUAUGCUCUAAUUGCUGGAAUAUGGUUUCACUUCCACAGAUCAAUUUGACAACUCGAAGUGGAUGUGGAGGCAUAUUCCUGAUGAGCAAUUUCUGGCCUUUUGGAUUCAUUGGACGCUAAAUUCAUUUGUUCAGCCACAUAAAAGCUGGUGUCUGCAUUGCAGUAGUUGUUUUCCUUUGAAGCUUCCUCAUGGCUGAGCUGAGAGGCAACAAACUUGUCAAGAACUCGCCAAUCUGUCACUUGAUCCACUGCUUGUUCAGUAGUGCUGUCAUAGAAAGACUUGAGACUUUGCUGAUGCGUUGGGUGCAUGUGCUCUUCUUGUGUGAGGGUUGAGGACUGCAAAGUGCUUCCCGUUUUCCCAUCGUAGUUACCGUCAGGAACAACUAAGUUGCAGCUUAAACUUGCAGCAGAAUAUUGUUGAACAUUGGGAUUUUCCAGCUGAGGGAGCUGAAAGGUAGGGUCAUGAGGGGAAUUAUAUUGCAACUUAAGCUCAGGCUUGCAGGGAUAACGGUGAUAAUAUGAUGCAUAAGGCUGAGGAAUUCGCCUUGGGGAGUCGAGUUCCUGCAUGAAUGAUACCUGGCCAUCGUACCAACAUGAAGAUCCGUAUUCACCCAUUUUUCGCACCGUUGUCAUUCGCUUCUUGAACACCCUACAAACCACCCAUCCCUCUUCCUGGUGGAAUAACAAAGAUAUCAAACUAAUCAUAACUAUUAAAACUAAAAACAUCAAGGAGAUUGCAUAUGCCUGCAUGCUUAUAUAUUUAUUUGAAUAUAUAGAAAAUGUGCACAAAUGGAAGUUCAUCAUCAAAUGUGUCUGAACACAGAAAAAUAUUAUAAGAUAAAAAUUACGUAAACAGAAACCUUUCUAAUUCCUUAGAUAAAACAGUGAAUAUACACAUGUAUAUAUGUAGAAUAAUAACCUGAGGAGUUCCAUUUUCAAUUGUUUCUAGUCGAUACUCAUGCAUGAUCCAAUCGGAUUUUUGUCCAUUGGGUGCUCUUCCUUUGUAAAAAACUAGGGUUUUCCUCAUGCCAAUAAGGCUCUGCCUGGAGUAAAUAGGUUUGUCUCUUCCAGUAGCUUUCCAGAACCCUACUUUUGUUGCUCUAUUAGUGCGAGUGCCUGUUGGAUACUUCUUAUCCUUGUGGCUAAAGAAGUACCAUUCAUUCUGGUCUUCAGUUCCUAUUCUGCACAAUUCUAUAUACAUCCAGACCAACCAAAAUAUGAAUUAGCUGCCUCAGAUUGUUGUUCUUUUAUAUGAUUUGUGAAGAUGGGAAAUACUACUAUACCUUGCAGGUCCCAUGGUUCGAUUUUAUAAAGAUCAACAUCUUUGAUGACAUCUAAAUCUAUCUUCGAAGCAACCUUUUUUCUAAGGUAGUAAUCAACGAGUUCUUCAUCUGUAGGAUGGAACCUAAAUCCUGGGGGAACGUGUGAAAAGCUAUUCAUGUUGUUCCAAGACCGAUCAAACCUGCAUUACCACGGCGCACUAUAAUAUUUCAGCAAUAUAUGUGUGUUCAUACAAUUGGAGAACUAAAUUCUACAGAAACACAUGCAGAUAUCAGACAUGAUCCAAAGACAUGCAAAUUAUGGUAUGAAUAUGAAGGAUCUUUGAGCAUGAGUUUAUUUGAGUAACGUCUAGCAUUCAAGAAGAAAUUGGUACCCAACAAGAGUUCUGUUCAACCAACGAAUUAACAAGAAAUAAUAACAACAACAACAAAAAUUGUUCACUGUAGCCAAUAAUGAUUAACUUGUAUGUACUUCUAAGACAAGUUUUGUCAGAUGGAAAGAGCUAUCAUUUCUUAUGCUUAACCUUUUCAAUGCACAAUAUAUUUAGAGUUUCAGUACCAUAUCUUAAAGUUGCCUACAAAAUGUUCAUGCUGUUCCCUAUGCUACCAAAAGAAGGUGACAUCGAUCCCAUAUGCAGUUAUGCAUACAUAGAAUAAAAUAGUAAUUUUAUCUUAAAUUACUGACAGAUCGAGGCUUUAGGUUAUAAAUAGCCUCUUUAAGAGUAUAACAAGGUGCCAAGACUUGUUUGGAACACUCAGAUAACAUGGAUACGGGUCCUGUCAUUCCUUCUUUUCCUAAUGAUAAAAAAGGAGUAUAACAAUGAUGCUUUUAAGUUAUUACUCCAAUCUUCUUAUUUUUCGUAUACAAUUUAGGGUAAUUAGCUCUAGGUUUCAAACUUGUAACUAAUCUUGGGAUGGUUGGUUAUUUUUGGUCGCAACUGGGUUAGCUGGUAAAGAAUUAUAAUAGGGAUAAACUCUCGAAAAGAUGAGAAAUUGAGAACAAGAAAUACUUUUCAAAGGCCAUUUACUUAUGAGUUUUAACUAAUAUCAUUAAGUAGCAAAAUGUGCAAAAUAGAACUAAAAUAUUCUUGUAUUCAGCUAUAGGUUAAUAAAUGGAGAGUAGACAAACAAUGAAUUAAGGCUUUCUCCACUCAUACAACCAUAUGGUUAAGAUACAUAAAGAACUUGAGCAGAUCCCCCAUAAAAUCUGAAAAAUGAUUUUUAAGCUAUCAUCUAAUUUAUAUGAAGUGAGAUCUGAACUCAACCAUCUCAAAACUGCUUACAUUUACAUGCGAUAUAGAGAAACAGGAUUUAUUCUAUAGGUUACAAUUUAGAAAGAAAAGGUGACAGUUCUCUAUGCUGGAGAGAAGAAAAAGAAACAUAUAUAACUUGAAAAACCUAGGAAAUAUGAUGAACAAAAAACAAAAGCAUAAAAUAUCAGCAAUAAACAGACUAGGGAUCUAUGAAACAAGUUUAUACAAGGGAAACAAAAAAAUAUCAUCGAGAUCGAACUGAAGCCACUUGAGCCAAAAGGCAAAUCUUGAAGAAGGGGUGAAUGAAAUAGUGAAACACAUCAUAUCUUAUAUAAUUUCAUUGCUUGCUUAGCUUAUACCAAAAGUAUCUCCCACUCUUUUCUAGAUAAACUAAAAAGGAAACAACAAAGGACGAAAGAGGAAGAGAAGCUCACGAUGACACAAGCUUGCUAAUAUUGCGUGUACAGCAACCCCCAAUACCCUAAACCAACUCAAAACUGGCUAAUCCUCAGAGAUCUGACGGAAGACCAACAUCAUGUGAUUGUUAAAGCUAAGAAAUUAACUUUACGCGAACUUUUUUGUAACUUUUACGAGGCGACAAUAUAUGAACCAGACAAAAGAACACACCCAAAGACAGAAAAGCAAGAAAGUUGUGGGUGUAAUGAAAAAGUAAUGAGCCUCGGGAAUUGAACUGAGAGACACCUCCAACCCCUAUCUCUUUGUAGAAUAAGGAAGCUACCCACAAGUUGUCGGAAGGGGAAGAGGAAAGAUCAGAUCCCAACGAAGGAAAUGGGAAAGAAAAAGGGAAUAAGGAAAUGGUAGUCGAGGACUGACGAAUGGGAAGAGAUUAAAUAAGAAGGGUUAAGGGGAAUGAAUAUGAAUAGUGGCAAGAAACACACAUGCCCCAAUAGUAUAUCCCUCUCAAAUAUAUUCCCUCUAUCUAAUUCUAAAUUUUAUCCUUUUUUUAUUUUUAGAUUUGAGAAAUUAAUAUAAUCGUUGAUGAAUACGUGAAAUUGAAUUAAUAAUAAAUUGUUAAGCGGAUUAAGGAUUUAAUUGGAUUGAGUUGUAAAAUUUUACAAAGUAGAAGUAAAUAAAGAGAUUAACUCCUCAAUUCAUAAAUAUUUAUAAUAUCAUCAAGGGGCUUGAUUGGUAAAAAAGCUUUGCGGGAGAAAAGGGAGGCGGAAGAUUGGUAAUAGAAUUAGAGAAGGAAGCGGCAACCUCCAAUGGCACCCACCAGCUACUGAUAAAGACCAGAGCAGAACUUGUGUUUUAAUUUGCUUUACAAAAAUAUCAUAAAACAGAUCUAACAAUGUUUUAACCAGGUGAUCCGACGGUGAAGAUUAAUUGUGCAGCUCCAAAAGCCCUUCUCAGAAGCCAAUCAUUUUUUCUCUUUUAAUUACAGACAUGAUCACUACUCUCUCCCUUCCUUUUUGUAACUCCCAUAAUUUUAAAGCAAAAUAUAUUUUCUUUCCUAAAAAAUAUUGCAUUUUCUUAUUCAUAAAUAAAAGCUACAAAAAAAAAAUUUUUGAUGGAUGAUAUUUUUGGUGGUGCUCAUCACUCAUCACUUAUUCUUUUACUUAUUUCUUUGCACUUAUUACUACUACUACUAUUAUUAUUAGGCUUGUUAUACUCUUGUAUUCUCCCAUACACCGCAGGAUAUAUAUUAGACUAAGAAAUAUUAGCCUUCUAGAAUAUAUUGGAUCAAUUACAUGCUUAAUAUGGUGCAAGGACGGCUUUAAUUGUUUUUUUUUUAACAACAACCUUUUAUGUUUAGAAGUGUUGAAGGGUUGAACUGGAUUAGUUGAGUCAGGUCUAAACAUCAUAUAAAUAUAUUUUAUAUUUGUUUAAAUUUUGUUCGAUUUGAAAUAUAAACCUUACAAUUUUUUUAUCUAAAUUUAUCUAUUUUUGUAAUUGAUUGACCCAAGCCCUUUUGAAAAUCACCCGUAUUAUUUUUAAUUUUUUUAAAAAUAUAUUUAUAUUAUUUUAAUUUAAUAAUUAAUAAUUAAUAAUUAUAUAUAUUUUUAUUUAUUAAAAUUUUAUAUAGUCGUCUUUACAGUUUUUUAUGUUUACAUUAUAGUAGUAUUAAAUAUUACUAUAUAUUUAUUUUUUAUGUAUUAUUAAUUACAUAAUAUAUAAAAAUAACAUAAUAUAAAACAUUACAAACUUUAAAAACGAGUCGAGUUAAGCUUUAAAUGUUCAAGUUCGAGCUCGACCCACAAUUUAAAUGAGCCUAAUUUUUUGGGCUUAAUAUUUUUACCAAAAUACUCCCAAAUUUUACACAGUCCUUCGAACAUGGACAAUAACCUGCCCCAUGAAUAGGUCUAAUUAUAUUGUUGAUUUGAUAAAUUUAGUGGAUUUGAAUAAAAUAAUUAAUAAAUGUAUAUCAAAUCAAAUUAAUAAAUAUUUAAAUUUAAAUCUAAUCGAAUUUUUAAAAAUAGAUGAGCAAUUUGAAAAGAAUAUUUAGUAAUAGAGUUUAACUUGGAUUAAAUAAUUUUAAAAAAUCACUUUUUAGAUUUUCAAUAACAUGUGACAUCAUAUUUUUUUAGUGUUUGAAUAAUAUAAGAUAAGAUAAAUUAUUAAAAUAAUCACUUUUGUUUGUCUCAGGUUACAUUUUAGUUACUUAUGUUUGAAAUGUUACGUUUUAGUCUCAUACGUUUUCGUGUUGUAACAUUUUAGUUACUGAGCUAUUAAUUACCGUUAACGGUGUAAUGGUAAGCUGAUAUGGCACGUUAAAUCAUCAUUUCAAACGAAAUUUUAGGUUAAAUUCUAUAAUUGAUCCUUAUAUUUUUUUUUCUUUUUGAGCAAUUUAAUAUUUUUAGUUUUAUGUUCUUUUAACUUUUUUUUCCAUCCUUCUGCUUCUCCCUCUGUUUUUCUCCCUUCUCCAACUCUUUUAACCUAAUUUUUCUAUGCUUUCUAUUUGUUAAAACUAGUCCACAAGCUUGCUUCAGUCUAAAAAAUUAAAUUGUUAAAAAAAAUAAAAGUAUAGGGACUAGUUUUAACAAAUGGUAAACGUUAAAAAAAUGGAGAAAGGAGGAAAACAGAGGGAGAAGCAGAAGAGAACAAAAAAUAAAGAAAAAAAAAUUAAAAGAAUAUAAAAAAAUUAAAUUGCUUAAAAUGAAAAAGUAUGGGGAUCGAUUGUCUAAAUUAACCUAAAUUUUUUGUUUGAAAUGAUGAUAUAACAUACCACAUUAGCUUAUUGUUACACAAUUAACAACAAUUAACGGCUCAAUGACUAAAAUAUUACAACUAGAUAACGUAAGUGACUAAAACAUAACAUUUCAAAUAUAAGUAACUAAAAUGUAAUCUGAUGUAAAUAAAAAUGACUAUUUUAAUAAUUUAUCCUAUAAUAUAGCAACAAACAUAAAAGUAACUCUUAUUAGUAUUUUAACUCUAAAAUUAAUAAAACUAAUAUUUUUUUUUAUAAAAUUGUAAAACCACAUUCGUAUACCUUGAAAUCUUAUACCUUUUAAACCCUAUAUCCUAAUCUAACCUUUUCUUAAAAUUAUAAAUUAUAAAUCAUAAAAUUCUAAAAUCUAACCCAUCACAUCAUAAAUCAUAAAUCUAAUUAAAUAAAAAAAUCAUAAACUUCGUGUUACUAUUAUUAUUUGUUAAUAUUAUUUAAUUAAUCAAUAUUAGGAUUAAAAUAUUAUUGAGGAUAUUUGAUCUAGUAUUAGAAAAGGUAUGAUAUUAAUUAGAAAUUAUUUUUUUAAAAAUAAUUUAAAGUCUUACUAAUAUUUUAUUUAAAUUUAAUUAUAAAACUUCUCUUCUAAUUGCUUAUAAAUUGUAAAAUCAGCAUUCGUGAUGGUGAAAUGAAAAAAAAAAUCAAGAUGUCAGUAUAUAUCAAGUGAAUAUUGACUUUUUUUUUAAUGAUAGUAUACGAUAAUUUCAUGGCAUCAUAAAUAUCAACUAAUUUUAUUUGCUUGUAAGAUCCUUAUAGAAUAUCUAAUUAUACUUGGAAGAUUAUAAAAAAAAUAUUAUUGUUGAUUUUAGUUGGAAUGUUAAGAUUUAACAUCUAAGUUUAAAUUUUAUGUUGUCUAAACUAUAGUUGAAUUUUGUCUAUAUUUUUUUUAUUUUAGUUAAAGAUUUUUGCCAUAUCAUGUCUAAAAUUAUUCUUAAAUUUUAUUAAAUGAUUAAAAGAUUAUAUCUAUUUGAUCUCAAGUUGAAAAGUCUAUUCCAAAUAAAGUUAUAAACACUCGUUGAGGGUAAGUAUCUUCUUUGGAAUGUCUCAUUCUCUAAUCGGAAGGUAUUAUCCUUCUUUCAUACUUCGAAGAGAGUCUAGUCAAAUGGUAUCAUGAUUGUAGAGGUAAGGCUUUAAUGCCUUGGUUAGUGGUUCGAACUCCCGUAAGUACAGUAUGAAUAAUUAAUAUUUCACACAAUACCGACACUUCUCUCGUAAGUUUACAGGUCGAGUCUUUACUAACCAAUGUGUUUCUUAAACUCUAUAAACCCUUUAGACUAAUCUUAAAAUAUGAAAGACAAAACUCUAAUAUGAAAACAAUAACUAGUUACAAAAGACACUUGAAACCAAAUGUUCUCCCUCAACAACACUAAAACGAUUUGAUAAAGUUUAGAAUAUAUUUUGUUGCAACUUGUAGGGUAAAAUAUAUAUUUACCGGAUCAUUUUCGUCAAUCUUCAACCAAUGAGAGAGGUUUUGUUUAUACGAAAUUAAGUUAUAGAAUAAUGAUGUAGACUCAAUCAAAUUUGGAAAUGUUAUGUAAUGUAACAUUAUCAUCUAUCUUUAUAAUUGCAGUAUGAUUCAGAAUUUGCUUUGCAUAACAAAAUUAUAAAGCUGUGGUAUGUAUUUAGUAGAAAUAGUGAAGAGUGGAGAGUGGAACCAGAAUGCAGAAUGAUAUGGGGUGGUGGCUAAAGUUCAGUCUGUGAUCGCUUCUGGGCCUCUAUAGCUUCUUUUCAUUUCUUUUUAUAAAUGGUAUGUUGAUAAUCCAAAUAGGAAAAUUCCAACUAACCAAUUUUUUUAAUGGGCAUAACAUUAGUAAUAAUAAAAAAAACUAUAAGUUGACCCCCAGAAAUUGGUUAUGUUUAAAAGAUGAAUAAACUGUUAUGGUGUUCAUAUUAUAUUUUAAAUCAUAUUCGCAUCAAUAAAUGUAAUAAUUAUUCUAUAUAUUAAUGAAAUUAUAAAUAUAAAAUAACGAGUGAUUUGUGUUUGGGACAAAGUAUAGAUCGAAGUGAAGCAAAAGUCUAUAAUGUUAUCCAAGUGUCAUCUUCACAAAAAAACAUAGUUUUAUUUAUUAAUGAUUACAAAUUUUGGAGUAUUUGCAAGGUUGAGUUUUAAAUUAUAUUAUAUUAACAAUAAAAAGACAGGAAAAGAGAACAUAAUGGUUAAUUAGGGUGAGCUUUUUUAAAGUGUAAAUUAAAAGAAGAAUGUUGUUAGAGCAUUAAAGUAAUAUAUUUUAUUUGAUUCAAAUUGGAUUUUAUUAGGCGUGGUACGGAUAAGAAGAAGAAUAUGUCAGCCAAAAAUAAAGACAAAUUUCUAUUCCCUUUUGUUUUGGUGGCUUGUUGCAGCAUAAUUCCUAUUUUUGUAUCUGUGGCAUUGCAAAUGCAAAGGUGUUGUGAAACAAAACAAGGGGGAAAAAAGCAACUGCUGGGCUCUGAUUUUAAUCAUUGCUCAUAUAAACCCAUUAUUGUUUUGGACAUUUUGGUUCCCACGUUUUGCCAUGGGAAUGGGCAACUCUUCACAAAAAUGCCUAAUUAAAUGCUUUCCAUGUCCCUUCUCCAUUGCUCUAAAAUAUUUUUCUUAACUGAUUAAUCUCUCAACACCUCUUUUCUACAUGCAUUAACCCAUUGUAUGUUGUAUGUGUCUAGCUUGGGCAUUUCUGUUUCCAGCAAAUCAUUCCUAUAAUAAGUAAGGCACAUUAAUUCCCACAAUAAAUGAUAUUUUCAUUUAUUUUUUAAAUUAAUUUAAUUUUGAAAUCAUUUCUGUUAAGUAUAUUUUUCCUUUUACAUUAUUACAAACUAUUUUUAUAGUUUGUAGGUUUCUAAUAUAUAUAUUUACAAAUUUAAAUUCACAUAAAAUAAAAAUCAUUUUAAUAUCAAUUAUCAAGAUUUUAAAAUUAAACGUAUAUUUAAUUAAUUAAUAUAUACAACUAAUCCGGAUAUACCAACAAAUAGGUAUGGAGUAAAACUUAGGCAUUAUCAAGUAGGCCAUAUGAUUCAUAUAAAAAAGAAGAUGAUAUUAUUUGAUAAAAUAUCUCUAGUAUUUUGAACAUCAACGUCGAAGACUGUUAAGCAGUCCAAUAUUCAAAGGGAUAUGGGUUAGAUUUCCCUUAGAAACUUAAUUCAAGUGGCAAGUAUGAUUAGCGUUAAAUUAAUUAUAAUAGGAAUGUAGACCGAAAUAAAUUCGAUGUACAUAUAUUAUUUUCCAAGCAGAAGCUGGGAAAGUUAACUAAUUUUGAACAAGGAUGUAAGAAAUAUUAAUUAUUAGGCCAAUCCUAUCUAAGGUUUUGAUUUGAGCAGCAAAGCUGACUUGACUUAUCACAAAACAAGCUGCUCAGCUGUUUCUCUGUUUAUAUCACUGUCUUUGUCCACGCCGCCGACAUCAACUUAAAAGCUGAAAAUAUUUUGGCCUAAGUCACAAAUUACUACCUAAAUUAUAUUUAAAUAUUUUCAUUACUUAAAACACCCAACCAAUCAAAAUGUAAGUUCGAAAAAAAUCCACGUCUAAGUGUUUUGACUAUCAAAUAAAAUUUCCAAUGGAAAACUCUAUAAAUCUCGAUGGUAUUUCUUCUCUGUCCGAAAUUGAAGAUGGUGGUGGAUUGCGGGCAGAUGUUGAUCUCAAUAUAAAGAAAGUUCGAUUCAAAGGUGGUAAUAAUGAGGAAAGCACUGAUAUGUUGGUUGAAUCUAGAUCUGGCCCUACGAUCACAUAGAAUGCCAAACUGUUGGGGGUUAGUUUUGGAGAUCAGGAUAAGAAAGGGCUGGUCCUUUCUGGUAUUAGUGCUGUUGAAGACCUUGAAAUUUUGGAAGGAGACAUACAUAGAUCUAUGAUUAAUGGAAUCCUUGCCAUUGAUUUUUCUGAAAAGAUUCAACAAAUUUUAUACAAAGAAAUGGAGUGAACAGUUGUUAUAAAACUGCUUGGAAGAAAUAUUGGAUAUGGGGCAUUACACAGCUGUAUCAGUAGUCUAUGGAAUCCUUCCAUGCCCUUCCAUAUCAUGGACAUAUAGAAUGGAUACUUUUAGGCUAAGUUUCAAUCCCUAAAUGAUUAUGCUAAGGUUCUGUUGCAGGGGCCUUGGCUGAUCUACGGACAAUAUUUGACUGUCCAACCUUGGACAAAGGAAUUUACACCAUCUCAACCAUAUCCAAGCAUGGUGCUGGCUUGGAUAAGACUACCCGGCCUUCCAGGGUUUCUGUACAAAAAGAGGAUACUUGAAGAAAUAGGGGGGAUAAUCGGCAAAGUAGUCCUAUUGGACUUUAAUACAGACAGUAGAACUAAAGGUAGAUUUGCCUGGAUAGCCGUUUAUAUUAAUCUAGAUAACCCCCUAAUUGCACAAGUUCUUGUGAAUGGUUUACAUCAGAAGGUUGAAUACGAAGCAUUACCCAUGAUUUAUUUUACCUGUGGGAAGUACGACCACACCAAAGAACUGUGUGUCCCGUUGCAACCGGAAACAUCAUCGGGAAAGGAGCAGACAGGUGUUACUCCGGUAAAGGAUAUGAACGAAGGAGAAGGUGCCAUUUAUGGGCCAUGGAUGGUUGUUGAGAAAAAAAGCAGGUGUGAUUCUAGGAACAGUAACCUCAGCAAAGCGGAUCUUCGGGAACGAGGAAAAUUAGGAUCCCGAUUUGAUGCCCUAGUAAAUAUGGAAACUUUGAAACUGGAUGAAGCAAGAAAUAAGGAAAUAGAGGGACAAACGAUAGAUUUUAGGGAUACCCUAAAAGCUGGAAAAUUUAUUGAGUAUUUGAUGAACAAUAUCGAGGAAAACCUAUUUCUAGAAAAGGAGGCAGAUGGGGGGAGUUAAAGGGGAUAUCGGGCUUGGGAUUUCUAAAGAAGGAUAGAGCAGUGGGCCCAAGUUCUGCUGCUAUUGUUAAGGCCAAUGGAGUGAUAGGCCUAGCCGGAUCUAAAAUGAAUAUGGACAUUUCUUGCGGUGGGCUAAGUCAGCCCAAUGGCGUGUUGGAUCUCCCUUGUACUAAGUCAAGUUCUCAAAUUGAAGGAACAAGGGGUUUUUCUAAUCCUUUAAAUGAUUAUGUUUCUAAUAAGUUGAUGCAGAGUGUUCUAAUUCAAUUUCUAAUUUUUCCAAUUCAACAUCCAUGAACAUCUCUUGUUUUAAUCCUGUUUUUGCUGGACAAGAGGACAGUGAAGGAGAUGUUUUUAAUUUACAUACCAAGGCUGAUUCGAAGGUGCCAGAACUGAUUAAAAUUCAGGUACUGACUGCAUUGGUGGUUUAAAUCCACAGAGACACACUACUGUCUCCUUCAAUGAGAAAGGACCAGUUGGGGGAAUCAAUUAAGGAAAAAAAAUCUACCAAAUUCUUGUGGUAAUAAGUCUCGGACCUUAGGGAAAUCGAUGGGGAAUAAUGAUGAAGGCUUUGGAGCUACAAAAAAGAUUAAUAAAAUUACGCAUGGAAAAGGGAUUAAUUUUAAAAAUAAAAUUUCUUUUAAAAUUCCCUUGAGUGAUUCUAUGUCUAGGUUGGCUUAGACAGUCUCCAUAAUGUAAGGUGCUAAAUCGAAAGCUAUUGGCCUAGAUUCUGGUAAAAGUAUCCAAGAACGAUUUGUUAUGUUUUGGAUAGUAUGGUUUUAUUUUUUGGAGUUAUGUUAUUUCUUUUUUAUUAUUAUCUAUUGUUUAUGGAUUUAAAUUUAUCAAUUUUCUCUUAGAAUUGUCAAGGUUUGCGAGUAGUAAAUUCCUAUGGGCUUUUCAUGAGUAUAAUCUUGAACAUAAACUGGAUAUUGUAUGCCUUUUGGAGCCGAGAGUUAGUGGUAAAAAAGCUAAUGCUAUUAUUGAUAAAUUGGGUUUUGAUUUUUCUCAUUGCAUUGAGUCUAUUGGUUUUUCAAGUGGGAUUUGGGUUGGAUGAAAGGAUAAUAUUUGCGUUAAUAUUAUUCAUAAUCAUCCUCAAUUUAUGCUUCUUCGUGUGCAAGGCACUAUUGUUUUUAAAUCCUUUUUUUAUUUUUGUCGUGUAUGGUAGCCUUGAUAGAGUUAAGAGAAAGACUCUUUGGACUAGUUUAUUGGAAGUUUUACCUCCUGAUCCAUUACCUUGGCUUAUCUUGGGGGACUUUAAUGCUAUUAUCUCUCCUAAGGAUAAAAAAAGCAAUCGUUCCAUUGGUAAGAGAUGUAAGCUUUUUGGAAAUUUUGUUAACUCUUGUAAUUUGCAGGAUCUUGGAUUCAUAGGGCUGGCAUUUACUUGGCAAAGAGGUAAUACCCAUGAAGGAAUUGAUCGAGCCUUAGCAAAUGAUUCUUGGAUCUCAGCCUUUCCGCAUACCUUAGUUUUUCAUCUUCCGCUUAUUAAAUCGGACCAUGGACCCAUUCUUAUUGCUAUUAAUCUUGAUCUUAGCCUUAUGAAAGGGAGACCUUUUUAUUUUCUCACAGGAUGGAUAAGACACUCAAAAUUUAAAAAACUGGUCUCUACUAAAUGGAGGUUUACAGGAAAUAUGGCUGACUCUUUAUCUGAUUUUACUUUACAUGUCAAAUAUUGGAACAGGUCCGUUUAUGGAUUUAUAGGCAUGCGCAAGAGACAACUUAUGAGGUUGCUUGGGAAUAUUCAGAAGGCCAUGGAUUGGUCUUCCUCUAGUAGGCUUAUUGACUUGGAGAUGGAGGUUUGGGAUGAAUUGGAAAAUGUGCUUAAUCAUGAGGAGCUCCUUUGGAGACAAAAGGCUAGAUGUGACUGGCUUCAGUUCGAGGAUCGGAAUACCAAGUACUUUCAUAGCUGCACUAUGCAAAUGAGGAAAUUUAAUCAUAUUUUGGCUUUACACACAAGUAGUGGGGAGUGGAGUUCGGAUCAGAGUGUUCUCUGGGAUGAGGCAACCAGGUUUUUUGAGAAGCUGUAUGGAGAAACUCUUACUUCCAUGAGUGCUCUUCCUUUGGAUUUAUUCCCUCGCCUCACAGAGGAAGACAUAGAUUUCUUUAAAAAGCCGAUUUUGAAUGAUGAAAUUAAGAAAGCCCUCUUCAACAUGGCUCUAUUGAAGGCUCUGAGAAGUGAUGGGUUUCAUGUGCAUUUUUUCAGAGUCAGUGGGAUUUCGUUGGAGGGGCAGUUUGUGAAUGGGUUUAGGGAAUUUUUAUUGGUAAUAAAAUUAAGGAGGAUCUUAAUAAUACGCUAAUUGUGCUUAUUCCCAAGAAAGAGUGAUCGGAGGAUUUCAGUCAAUUUUGGCCAAUCAGUCUGUGCUCGGUUGUGUAUAAAUUGGUGAUGAAGGUGAUCGCCAAUAGAUUUAAAAUGGUAUUCCCGAAUUAUAUUUCAUCCGAGCAAGCUGGGUUUAUCGCGGGGCGUAACAUUUCAGAUAAUAUCAUUAUUGCGCAAGAAGUUAUUCACUCGGUGUGCAAUAGGAAAGUUGGCAGAAAUUGGAUGGCCGUCAAGUUGGAUCUAGAGAAAGCUUAUAACAGGAUUAGCUGGGACUUUAUUAAUGUGACCCUUGUUGCUGUUAGGGUUUUCGGUUCCUUAAAAAGGUAAUUAUGGGUGCUAUCUCUUCAUCUACUAUGCAGAUUUUAUGGAAUAGGGUUCCAUCUCAGUUCUUCAAGCCUGUGCGGGGGAUUAGGCAGGGUUGUCCUUUAUCGCCUUACCUUUUUGUCCUUUGCAUGGAAUGGUUAGGACAUAUUAUUCGUUCUAAGAUAUCAGCAGGAAAGUGGCAUCCAAUUCGACUUUCUAGGGCGGGGCCGUUCUUAUCUCAUCUCUUUUUUACUGAUGGCCUUGUUAUUUUUGGCAAAGUAGAGAUUGGCCAAGCUCUUUUGUUAAAGGAAACCCUUAAAAGUUUCUGUGACUUUUCUGGACAUAAGGUCAGUGCAAGGAAGAGUAAUAUGUAUUUCUCCAAAGGAGUCGAUGAUAGUUUAUGUGAUCAGAUUAGCCAUUUCUUUUGUUUUUAGAAGGUUCUAAAUCUAGGGAGUUAUUUGGGGGUGUCUCUCCUUCAUGAUCGGGUUACUAAAAGUACUCUGAACUUUAUUGUUGAUAAAGUGAGAUGUAAACUUCAGAAUUAGGAAGCCAGGAAACUUUUCUUUGCAGAACGGGUCACGCUUGCCCAAUCAGUUCUUCUCACCAUUCCUAACUAUUUCAUACAGUCCUUACUUAUUCCGAAGGGGGUAUGUGAUAAGAUUAAAAAGAUUGCCAGACAGUUCAUUUGGGGAGGCUCCACGGGACAUCCUAAAAAUGCUUUGGUUGGGAUUCCAUUUGUCAACCUAGAUGUCGUGGAGGGCUUGGGUUACGGCAUCUUUAUGAUUAGAAUAACUUUUUCCUUAUAAAAAUUGGGUUUAAUCUCAUCUCUCGAAAGGAUGCUCUAUGGAUUCAUGUUCUUCAUUCGAAAUAUGGAUAGAAGAAUCAACUUCUUGAUACCAUUUACAGAAGCAAUUGUUCUCAUCUUUGGCGUUCCCUAUCUAAAGUGUGGCCACUUUUUUGUGAGAACCUUAUUUGGUCUAUUGGGGACGGUUCAUCUAUCCAUAGUUGGAAAGAUGCUUGGAUUCUUGAUGUUGGUCCCCUUUUGCCUUAUGUUCCAGCUCAUUCUAGUCUUAAUUUAGAGUGCACUGUGAGAGAUUAGGUUCUCCCUGAUGGUACUUGGAAUUUGGAUUUGCUCCGUUUAUGGUUGCUUGACGAUAUGAUUAUGCGUAUAGUUAGCAUUUCCCCUUUGCAUCCUGAUGGGGUAGAUAGGAUCAUUUGGGCUCGUUCUGGCUCAGGGUCCUUUUCCGUUCGAAGUGUUUAUUGAGCCUUAAAAGAAAGUUGCUGAAACUAUUUUUUUUAAAUUUUAAAAAACGAGGAUCGACUUUAAAAACAAAAAUAGAGUCACCACCAAUCCUUUUUGUUUAGGUGUGAUUAGAUCACCUAAUAAAGCAUUUUAUUUUAUUAAAAUAUUGACUUUGGCCUUCGAAAAUCAAGAAAAUGGGUUCGAGAGUCAGUUACGUACGAGAAAGGACUAGCACCCUCACAACGCCCAAAAUUGGUACCUAAUUGAUUAAUUAAUGUCCUAAUGUCGAAAAUUUGAAAAGAUUUUUUAAUAUAAUUUCUUUUAAAAGCAUUUGAAUAACUUGAAUUGGAUGCUAAGAUACUCUUGUCCCGAGGAAAUAAAAUAUCAUAUCCAGCACGUUAGGAUACGACCUUUGAAACCCUCAGAAUCAAUAUCAUCUCUUGAUUUUCGAAACUCAUGCGUUGAAAACUCAAAAGGGAUAUUUGGCUGUUUGGUCAAACAAAAAAUUGAAACCCAGCACGUUGGGGCACGAUUUCUCGAAUUUCCAAACACAAAGUAAUGCCUUGUUUUUUUAACCUAAAAAAACAUGGAUGAAAUUUCGAAAGUAUAUUUAGUUAUUUGGUCAAAUGGAAAAUCGAAACCCAGCACGUUAGGGCACGAUUUCUCGAAUUACCAAACACGAAAUAUUACUUUGUUUUAAGAAGUUUUUAAAUAGGAGCGAUUAUAAAAACGAUGAAAUACGAUUAUUCGGUUUGUUUGAAGUAAAGAAAAUGAAAUGAACAAUUUUAAGCAAAUAAGUUAACAAUUUCAAUCCUAAUCCAAUACACGAAAAUGAAAAACAAAGCAACUAAUAUGGAAUCAUACAUGAUUAACAUAUUAUACAAAUUAUUGGCAAUAAUAUAAAGAUACAAAUACGCAAAUCAAAACACACCCAAUGAUAAUACACUAUUUGACAUUUCUAAAUAAAGAUUAACGAAAUAAUAAAAAAAAUCGAUUUAAACAAUGAAACAAAAACUUUUAAACGGUAAUAAACAAAUGUUAAAACAGAUAAACUUGAAAUCAACAAUAAAACAAACAAUUUAAAAAUAAAUUAUAUGUAUUUAAACAAAUAAUGCAUGCAAAAAUUUAAAAUAAAUCAUAAAAUAAAUAAAUAAAAAUAAUACAUAAAAUAUAAAUUUUAACAUAUAAAUGCAUUUCAAAAUAAGUAUUAUAAGGAGGACUUUAAGAUUAGCGCUAAACAAAACAAUUUACAAUUAAAAUAUAAUAUAAUAUAAAAUAAUAAUGUAUAAUAAAAUAUAAUAUAAAAUAGUAAUGUAUGCCCAUAUAAAGUUUAAAACAAAUGAUAUACAUGUUAGAAAGUUUUAAUAUAAAUAAAUUAUAUAAAUACAACCAUAUAAAAAAUAUGCAAAGGAAUAUAUAUGAAUAACAAUCUAUAUAAUAUGAAAUCAAUGAUCACACAAAAUAAUUUGAAACAAGAUUUAUUCAUCAACAGUUAAUAAUAUAUAUAGAGUAAAAAACUUAAUAUAAAUAAUAUAUAAAAGAAUAACAAUAUAAGAAAAUGCUUGAAAUAACCAAAAUAUAUAAUUUAAAAUUGAGUCCUUAAAAGAAACAAAUAAUAUACAUAAAUAGAUUUAAAAGAAAAUAUACAUAUAUAUAUAUAUACAUGUAAAUAAAUUUAAAAGAAAAUAUCCACAUAUAAUAUGAAAUCAAUAAUGUGUGCUUAGAGUAAAAUUAAUUUAAUGCAUGUAUAAUAGUCAUUGGUUAAAUAUCAUAUAAAUCUUUAAACGUAGAAAUAUAUAAAGAAAAAUUUUAAAUAAAUAAAUUGUAAAAUAGAACAAUUUAAAAGAAUAUAAAUGAAACUAUAAAAUAACAACUGGGACAAUGCAAAAUUAAUAAAAUAAUUCAAGAUAAUAUGUUAAAAGAUGAAUAACAAAUAAAUUUUAAAAAUAAAAGAAUUACAAAGGAUAAAAACAUAAGCUGAAAUAAAGAAUACUCAAUUGAAAUAAAAAUAAAACUAAAAGGACAAUUUACAAAUAAAUAAAGCAAUAAAACAAAAUUAAGGAUUAAAAUACAAUGCGCACAAAUGUCCGAGGAUUAAAAAUGAAAAUGUCUCAAUUUAACUAUAGACUAAAUUAAAACUGCGUACAAACCUCAGGAAAAGAAUUAAAAAUACAAAAGAAAAAAAAGGGAUCCAAUCGAAUCGUCAACGUGCAAGAGAAGGACUAAAUACGUAAUUCACCUAUCUAGGAUAAAAACGCGUGGAUCCUCAUGGGUACCGGGUCGGGUCAAACCGGGUCGCUCUGUGCGAUGUCGUUUUGAGGCCACUGAAGUAGGGCCCAAACGGUGUCAUUUUUUCCCUCAUAUAAACAAUAUUUCCUUUAAAAAAAUGAAAUAAUCAGCCCUUUCAAAAAUAAAACCCUAGCCCCCUUUUAUUUCCCUCAAUCCAACCCAAAUCUCCCCUCUUAAUGCCGAUUUGCCACCAUGAACGGCAACCAGCAUGCCCCUCUUGCGGCUACUUUUUUAGCCUGAAGAUCCCCUCUACGCCUCGAUUUUAACGAAGCAAAAGGAAUCCAUAGCAUUUUGUAAGGUAAAUGUCUCAUUUUCUCUUUGUUUUCAAAUGCAUGUAAACCCUAAUGAAAGACCAAUAGAAUCGAAAGAAAAUCAGAAAUUUAAAAAUUUUGAUUACUUUUUUUGUAUUCAGUAUGCGUUUGUAAAAAAAAAUACAAGUCUCUAAUAUGGCUUUAUAUAGCCCAAUGAAAAAUGAAAAUACUAUUUUGCUUCUUUUUUCUGUUAUUUUUCUUCUUCUGGAUUUCUUAUUUUUUGUCGUUUUUUGGCUUCUUCUCGCAGGUUCUAUUGACGCGGGGAGUGCCGUACGGAGGAAAAGGCUAUGGUGACGUGGAGGGGCCGUUCGUGGGAGCAGCGGUGCAAGGGAUGACUAGGGUUUCAGUUUCUGAAACCAAUGUUUCGGUCAUUUGGGCCGGUCUUAGGAUUGGGCCAUUGUAAUUGGGUCUGGUUUCAAUUGGGUUUAGGGUUAAAUUUGCAUCUGGGCUGGUAUAAAUUUGGUAUUUGGGUUUAUUGUUUGUUUAUUGGGCUAUAAGUGUAAAUGAACUGGACUGUUUUAUUUAAUUUGGAUUUAUGAUUUAUUAUUUUUGGGUUUUAUUAUUAUUUUAUUAUUUUUUUGGUUCUGGUUUUGGUGUGGGCUCGGGCGAAAUGGGCCUAUUACAAAAGUUCCUGGGGUCUCUCUGAUAAUGCUUGGAAGCCCGUUUGGAAAUACCAAGGUCUACAGAGAGUUCAUUUUUUUCUUUAGCUUGCAGUCAAACAGAGGCUUCUUACUAAUGCCGAGCGAUCCAGGAGAGGGAUUGGACAUAGUAGUGUGUGUCCUCUGUCUGGGCAUGAUACUGAGGAUAUUCUACAUGUUCUCCGCGAUUUUCCGAUGGCUAAGGAAGCUUUGAUGCUCAUUGUUCCAACAGAGAGGCGUUUCAAGUUUUUUUAACCCUUUUCAAAUUUGGUUUUCUACUAAUAUUUGUUAUGAUAAGUUGCAGGACAAGGGUAUUACCUGGUCUUAUCUCUUUGGGAUCGUUGCUUGGAGACUUGUGGAAGAAUAGGAAUCUUCUCAUCUUCCAAAACAUCAAUUGGUCAGCUUAUGAGACCAUUAAGCCCUCCCUCAGUUCAGCUCAACACUUUGAACCGUUCCUAGUUGAAGCCAAAUCUACUGCAACUAAUCCUGGAAUUCAUCAUCACUUGGUUGAAAAUUGGGUCCACUUGUUUUCAGAUGAAGCAGCCACUAGAGAUUCAGGAAAUGUCGCAGCGGGAGGCAUGAUUAGAGAUAGGAACGGCAAUUGGAUUCUGGGGUUUACUCGCUAUUUGGGUAGAUGUUCACCUCUGAAGGCAGAACUUUGGAGCAUCCUUGAUGGUAUUCUUAUUUUAUUAAGUAAGGGUUACAAAAAAAGUCUGGAUUUAGACUGAUAAUCUUAAAGUGGUAAAGGCAUUGUCCGUGGAAGUAACAGUGGACUCAGGCAUUACCAUUCUCAAAAGAGUUAAAAAGACUUUUGAGUUCUGAAGGACAAUGAGAAAUUGAGUAUGUUACCAGGGAACGUAAUUUAAUUGCUGACCACUUGGCAAAGAUCAGUCUUUCUUGGAAGUCACCCCUCCAGCUUUUUGAAGUUCCACCUGAUUUGGUGGUUUCGUCUAUUAAGCAAGACAAAUCUUUUAGGAUCUCUUAGAAGGUUUUAAAUUUGUUAUUUUGUUUAUUUUUCACCAAAAAAAAAACACCCAACCAAUUAAAAAUUAUGAAGUGACACAAACUAAAGUCGUAUAAGCAUUCUCAUGUAUUUAUUUAUAUAAAAUAUUUCCAAAAAGAGUAAUAAAAGAAACACAUUUAUAAUUUUUAAAUAUAUAUGAGAUCCAAAAAAUAUAUUUAUUAAAAUUUAUUUCUAUAAUAUAUUAAUUAUAUGAAAUUUAAAAAAUAUGAAAUUUAAUUUAUUUAUUAUUUAUAUUAUCUAAAUUAUAUACAAAUAAAAAUAUGUGUUUAUAUAAAAUAUAAAUUAAAAGUUUACCAAAGUUGAUGGGUGAAUAUCAAUGGUUAACAUGGCCAUAUAGUUUUUUUUAUGCCAUGGUUGAGCCACAUCAGUAUUAUUGAUGAAGGUACGUACAUAAAAAAAAAUAUAUAUAAAUACCAAUAGCUUAGACACAUUUGUUAGAUGAAAUAUUUACUAAGAGUCACUGUACAGUUAUUACAAAGGAAAUAUAGACGUAAGGGUUAGGGUAGGAUGUUUGGUUUUUAGUAUCUUACUUGCAACCUAAGAUCUUGUUAUAUAUUGAUGUGCAUGUGUGUGCUUCACUGAUUAAUAUCCAAGGAAAAGAAGGCAUUUGUUCUAAAUUUUUAUGAUUCAACUAAUCCUCAAUUAAAAAUAAAAUCUAAGAAUACACCUGGCUAAUAACGAAUAUAAGUUUAAACAAACAAAUAAUAUAGAAAUUUGUGAUACAUACUGUAUAGAAAAUAAAUUAUGAUGAGGGGAGUAUAUGGGAUAAUUAACAUUAACUUCAUCUCAUUAUCCCAAACUACUGGGACCACUACUUUCUUUAUCCAAAACAUGGAGUUAAAUUUGUCUUGUAAUACAAACUGGUUAGUCAAUUUCGUGCACAUUAUACUCAUUAUUCAUCUCUUAACUCAGUAAUUUAAUAUGACGUAUUUACAUUGUUCACUCUUAUAAUAUAAGGAUUUGUUUACUUGAAUUUAGCCUCUAAUUUUAUAUAUAGUCUUAAUGAGAGCACUUUUUUAAAAUUACCUACCUAAUAUACUAUAUUGUAUUGAAUAUGAUAAUUAAUAGUCAGUAAAAUUCUCUAAUCAUCUGCCUGCAACUGCAAGAAACACGUUUUAAAAUUUUAAGUUUUUUUAAUCCUUGAAAAUUGAAUAAAAGGUUGACUAUUCACUUUCAAAGGUCAAUUAGAACUCAAGGCGUGAUGGAUAAUAAUUACUGCAAUUUUAAUGUCUUCAUUUUUCCUGCUGAGAAGGUCAAUUAAAACUCAAGGCGUGAUGGAUAAUAAUUACUGCAAUUUUAAUGUCUUCAUUUUUCCUGCUGAGUUUUGGCCUUUUUAGGAAAUUAAUAGGUAAGAAAUAUAUUAAUAAAAAGAAUUGAUGAAAGGUAAAUAAGGAUUUAGUUGAAAUAUAAAAAAUCAUCAUACUUAUAUAUUUUUUUUCAUAAUUUCUCAACUAACUUUAAACACUUAAAAAAUAGCAUAGAUAAAAUGUAAAUAACUUAAAGUGGUAUAUACUUUUCUAUAGCUUUUUAUAUAUUAAUAUUUUAAUAAUUUAACUGUUAAAUAUAUUAAGAUAUUUUUACUUUGUCAUGCAUGUAAAUUUUUUAAUCGAUCCAAUAUCUCUAUAAAUAUUGUCUAUAUUAAUCUAUAUUUAAUGGCUAAAAAUUCUUUUACAUAAAAUAUUUAUAUGGAUUGAACACGUAAUUUAAUGGUUGGAUUAUUAAAAUAUUAAUCGUAUAAAAAAUUUAAAAAUGAUGUAAAAUCACUUAAAUUUUGCAAUGAUAUAAAUAGAAUCCUUCAAAAUAAUUUAUUUAAAUGUAUUUAUAUAUUUAAAUAACAAUUGAAGAAUGACUUUUAAAAAAAAAAAUCUAACAGGGAGAAUGAUUACAUAUUGGUUAAUAAGUCCCCUUCAGAAUAAUUGUAAGAGAACACAUUAAAAAACAAACAAAAGAUCAGUGGAAUUGGAAUAAUUGGCAAAACAAUUUCAGUUUCAAUUUCAUCUCCAUGAAUUUCAACAAUGAUGGAUAUGGCUAAAUCUCCGCCAAAUUAAACUACAUCUUUCCCUAUUCAUGAAAUUUAAUCUAUAGUUAUAUUAUUUUGGUAAGUGAUUCAAUUAUUUUAUUCAAAGAUAAAGAAUUAUGUAUGUAAAGUCAAUCAUUUUAUGACACAUUAAAGCAAAAUAGAGAUAUAGCGGUGGAAUUUAGCUGGGUUUAUAGGAGAAAUGUCCCUAGAUCAAACAUUUAGCGGUAUUUAGGGAUGUUUAAACAUUUAAUUAAUCAGUUAACUAAAUUGAAUUAGUAUCAACCGAAUUAAUCAAACUGAAAUAUUUUAGUUAAUUCAAUCGUUAACCAGAUUAAUUGAUUUUUUUUUGUUAACAUUAUUAUAAAACAUAUAAAAGAAAUAAAUUUAUAAUGUUCAUUUGACCGAAUUAACCGAACUAGUAAUAACCUAAUACAUAUAAUAUAUAAUAUUAUUUAUUAAGUUUGGUUAAUUUGAUUAAUUACUCGAUUUUAAACUGAAUUAAUCGUUAACCGAAAUUCUAAAAAAUCUUUAAUCAACCUCCGAAAAAAUUAGAUCGAUUAACCUAUCAUUAACCGAAUUAAAUUGGUUUAAUCAGUUAGUUAAAUUUUAACUGAAUUUUGAACAUCCGUAACUGUAUUUAUAAAAAAAAAAAAGUGCUAGAUUCAAAUCUUUAGUGGCGGUUAUGUUCAAAAACGUUGGGAAAACCUAAUCCCCUAAUACGGGAUAUUUGAUUUACCACGAAAUUGUUUUAGCGGUAUAAUUUUUGCAGUGUUUACUCAAGUAAGUGCUCAUGUACAAACGCUAUAAAAAAUUAUGAGUAAAAUAAAUGGUUUUUUUUUUAAAUUGUUACUUUUUUCACAUAGUUUUGGUGACAUUUAUAACUAAAACGGCAGGAUAUGUUUUAUGGUAAAAUUAUUUAACUAUAUAUAUUACAAUAUGUUCAUUAAUUAUUAGAAAAAAUAUAAUUAUUUUAAAAUGAUAUAAUUAGAAGAAAUAAAAUUAAUUUAGAAGAAAUCGAUGUAAAUAAUAACAUUCAUUUAAAAGUUUUCUUUUAUAUAAAUAAAGAAUAAAUGAUAAUUUAUAUUAAAAUUUAAAUCAAUAUUUUAAUAAAAUAAUUUAUAAAAAUAUUGAAUUACUUUAUAAAUCAUAUUUUCAUAAUAAAUUUUCUUCCUUCCCAUUCGUAUUUUUAAUCUUUAUUUAUGUUUGACAAUUUUUUUCAUAUUUAAACAAUAAUCUAAAAAGAAAUUAAAUUUUAUGUUAUCAUAAAAAUAAUGUAAAUAAUUUUUUUGUCAACUAUGGUAUCCAUCGCCGGUAGUAGUUACUAAUCCUCUCACCACAGAUGUUCUCUAAAGAGGAAAAUAAUUAACUAUGAAAUAUGCUCCAUUUUUAUGGGUAGGGAUAGAAUCCCCAACCUCAUGACUAAGAAAUGAGGUGAGCAACUACCACAUUACACCUUAUGGUUAAUAUAAACAUAUAUUUUUUAAAUUCUUAUUCUUAUGUGUUUAUAUAAUUUUCAUUUUUAUCAACGAACAUAAGUGGAUUUAGGGGGUUGACAGGGACCCUGACCCCAAUUAAAAUAGAAAAUUUACCAUUUUAGCCUUUUAAAUUUUUAAAAAAUUUAAAUUAGUAAAGAUUAAAUUGCACUUUGCCCCCUAAAAAUGAUAAAAAUUUGAUUUAAUCUUUUAAAAAUUAUAAAUAUAUAGACAAUUUAAUUUCUACCCACCUACAAUUUUUUCCUAGCUUUGCACCUAUCAACAAAUGCAAAUUUUAAGGUCUGCUUCGAGACAAUGUCAUUUUGAAUUGCAAAUUUUAUAAUUUAGCGACACUUUUGUGUUAAAAUGUUGUGAAUAGUAUAUCCAUUUACAUCAAUCAAGCUUUCUUCUCCAUGAUUCCCAAAAUCAAGUUCUAAAAUCCGAACUCCUAAAUCCUUAACCGCCACUCACAUCUGAUCAUUGCUCCAUCACCAUUAUCGUAUGCGUCUGUUGUUCGCUCAAUUGACUUCCAUCUCUAUCGCUCACUCAGUUGACUACCAUCUCUAUCACUUGCUUAAUUGACCAUCCAUUCCAUUGCUCGCUUAGUUGUCUGCUCGCUCCGUCGCUUGCUUAACUGACCAUCCAUUCCAUUGCUUGUUCAGUUGUCUGCUCGCUCCAUCACUUGCUUCGUGAACUGCUCCGCUGACAUCUUCGCCAAUAUUACUUGUUAUCGGUUUGCAAAUUUAGCAAGGGUAAGUGGUUCAAUAUUUUUUGCCAUCCCCUUUCCCUUUUUUUUCCUUCAAAAAUAUUGUUUGUUACAAAUUUGGCAUGUAAAUGACUUACCAUCAAUUAAUUUGAAUUUAUAUAUUUCCUCUAUUUAUUUAUCAAAAUUUAUAUUUUUCUCUACUUAUUUUUUAAAAAAUAAAAAUCAUCUCUUUAUUGUGCACACGCGCACACACAUAUAUUGUUGACCUAAACUAGUUGCUAAACCAUAAGAAACAAAGUAUGCAUAAGUGUAAAUAGAAGCGGGCACUUUUACUAAAAAUGUGACAACUACAAUAAAACAAGAGAGUAAAAUUGUUUAUGCAAUUCAGGUUCCCUACAUCUGUGGAGCUUAGCUCAGCAAGAUAAAUUCACUAUCUUUGAAACAAAUACGAUCAAUAAUCCUAGUUUCAACACACCACAGUGAAGAAUCCCCACUCUUGCAUCUAAAAGACUAUAACUCUUAUUAGGGUCUAGUGCCUUAAGUAGUUUAUUCGUCAUUUAUACUUUCAAUUUUUUUGAACAAAAUUGUUUAAAUAAAAUUUCAUUAUUCACAAUAAGUAUCAUUUGUAUUUGCCCUCAAAUAGUUUUGCAUGCAAAGCAAAAUGUAAGUAAAUAUUGAUUAUUGAUUACCAAAGGUAUAAUUAAUACUAACUUUAUUGAUUACCCAAUGUAUAAUUAAUCCUCAGUUUGGAAGUCCAUGGUUUGAUUAAUCGAAAUUAAGAAAAUUGGUCAAAGGACUAUUAUGUCAUCUAUCAAGACUAAACAGGGAGAUAUAUUGUGUUGGGUAUCAAAGUGGUUUACUUCUAGAAUAUAGAGAUAAAGAUGUAAUUGUCUAGAUUAACAAUGCAUCGGAUUAGACCCAAGUUGAAUUAAUCCUAGAUCCGUUUAUAGAUUAGUUCAUUUGUGAUGUUUAUAGUGUGGCUUAUCUCAAACCUAAUUAAGUGAUUGACUAUGUGCGCAUAACUCGUAUGCUUUGAUAUAUUAAAAGUCUGAAUUCAAAUAACUAAAUAGCAAAAAGUUGGUAUGUUAGGUAAACAACUUUUGCAUGACAUAACUUCAUUUAUAAUAGUGAAAUUCAUAGCCUAAUAAAGGGUAAAUGAUAUCUUUUGUAACACCCUUAACCCGUAUCCGUCGUCGGAAUAGGGUUUCGAAGCAUUACCAAGUAAUUGUAAUCUAAUCAUUCAUUUCAAACAUCAUAAAAUGAUUCAACAUUAACAUGCAUAAAGUAUCUUAAUAAGCCUUUGAGAGUUUGAAAACACUUUAGAAACGAUCUGAGACUAAAUCGGGAACAUUUGAAAAUUUUUAGAAAAAGUUAGAAAAUUUUUAACUGCAGGGUUCACACAGCCGUGUGGGCAUUCGAAGUAGGGACACACGGCCAUGUCCCAGCCUGUGUCUGUGCCCGUGUAACUUGGGUCACAUGGCCAGGCAACAUGCCCGUGUGCCAGGCCGUAUACCCUUUGAAAUGGCCUCGCACGCCCUUGUGAUAGACGUGUAUCUCACAUGCCCGUGUGCCUAGCCAUGUGGACCUAAAAUGAGCCUUAAAUAAAAAAUUUACCAAUUCCUAUAUGCUUGGACAUUAAACAACUCAAAAACCAUUCGUUUAACCUGUUCAAAACACGAUCAAACACAUUCAAAACAUGCCAAAAUAAUCAUACUAAGUGCCUAACCAAUGUAUCCUCAUUGGUACCACAUUUAUAUCAUCAAUUCAUAUCACCAAAGCAUUAUUAAAAUCCAAAUUAUAAACAUACCAAAUUCAAUCCAUUUUGCCUAGUUCAUAAGCACUUAUACAUCAACUUAAAUUCACAUGCACAUAUCUAGAUUUGGUUCAAAUUACCAUGCCAUAAUAUGGCUUCAAACACAAACACAUGUUUAUUAUAUAUACCAAACUAACAUUACAUUUAUAACCUCCUUUACAAUCCAUCUACAAAAUAACUAUCAUUUAGACAUCCUAAGUACAUGUCGACACAAAAGAUAAACAUCACCACAUUUGAGUUCGGGAUCGUUGUUGGAUGUUGAAUCAGCGAUCAAAAGUGAAGUACCUAAUUUGCACACAGAAAAACAAAAUUGUUUGCUGAGUAAAACUCAAUGGUAUUUCAAUAAUCCGAACAUGUAAAGACAAUAUAAUAUAGUAUGCACAAUUGAAUUAUAAACACAUAUUAAUGUCUAGUAUCAUAACUAUCAUAUACUAGUCUUUGUAAUUCAUACAUAUUAGCAUAUCACUUCAUAUUAUAUUCAAUUUACAAAUGCUAUCAUAUUUCAUUUGUUAAACAAUUUCCCUAUUCACACAAUUGCUAUAUAAAUAGCUAUUCACAUAUCAAACCAGAUUUAUUUGUAAAAGGGCAUUAGGCAUUCAAUAUUCAAUUCAUGAAUACAUCAUUUCAUACCAUACUCAAUUCUCAUCACUUGCUAUAUAAUAUCUUUUCACAAUUUGAUCCAAAUAUCAUUUAAACAAUAACAUUAUCUAUUCCAUUUCCAAUUCAUGAGUACAUAACUCAUGUAUCUCGUUUUUAUGUUUCAAAUCACUAUCCCAAUUUCAAUUCACAUACAAUAUCAUCCAAUAUCAAUCAUAGUACCAUUUAUUUAAUUACCCUUAUUAACACGACUCGGACUUAGACAGAUACACAGAUCCAACCAACACACUAGUUUGGCACCUAGUGCUUCAUCGGAUCAAUCCGAAGUAAUAUGCGCUCAGCGCUAUAUACAUUGACACUUAGUGUCUCAUCGGUUAAACCGAAGUAAAUUGGCACCCAGUGCCUCAUCGACUCGAGGUCGAAGUAAUCCCUAAACUCUUCCUAUCCUAUGGCAUGCCAUCUAUAUCUGACUUAGCCCGAUACAGUUAAUAGGGUUUAAUUUCACAUUUCAGAUAUAACCAAUAUCCAAUACUAAUUUUUUAUAUAAACACAUAUAUACACAUAAAUUAAAUUCAAUCUAUAAUAAUCAAUAUCCAACUUUCACAUUAACACAUAUAUUCAUUUCCAUUCAAUAAUUAGUACAUUCAAUAUGUAUCUACCUUUUCAAUCCAUUUCAAUCAAUUAUUAAAAUGUUAAUUACUCACCUCAACAAUUACCAUAUGCAUUAAAUUGAAUUAUAAAAAUUAACAACUAAAUUUGGAUUAUAGAAAUACAGACCAAGAAUUUCGAGCUAUUCGACGUCGAUUUUAUCUUUCACCUUUUUAGUCGAGGAUUCUGGUACAAUGUUAGCUACGAAAUUAAAACAAUUAAAAUUCAUCAAUACAAUAAAAUUUCAAUUUCAUAUUAAAUUUUGAAUAUUUAAAUUUUUACUCAAUAUUUGUCUAAAUUCCAAUUUAGUCCCUAAAUUGAGACUAAUUUUUAUUCUUCAUAUUUAAUUCUAUAUUUUCAUGCAAAUUCCACUUUAAACUAAAUUUUGACUCCCUAUUUUCAUUUAAACCCCUAAAUUUCAAAAUUUUUACAAUUUAGUCCCUAACCCUCAAAUUUUACAAUUUGUUCAACAAUUUAAUCCUUUUCCAUUUCUAACUUAAAAAUCUAUCAAUUUAUUCCCUAAUACAAAAAUUAUUCAACAUUGACAACACUUAAAAACUUAACAAUUGCUAAAAUUUCAACAUGGCUUGGGUAACUAAGUACCGAGAUUCCAAAAACAUAAAAAUUACAAGAAAAAGGACUAAAUUGACUAACCAAUUGAACUUUGGAAAUUUGGAGCCUUAAGAUCGUGUGUUGCCUUCUUUUCUUCUUUCUUUUUCUUUCUUAAUUUGUAUGGCUUUCUCUCUUUUUUUUAUUUAUUUUAUUCUAAAUUAAUUAAUUAUUAUAUAAUAUAUAUACAUUUAUUUAUAUUAAGUUUUCUUAAUAUUAUAAUAUAUUUUAACUUUAACUAUUAUAAUAUAUAAAAUAAAUUUACACAUAUAAGUCACUAAUACCGUCCACUUAAUGGAAUAAUGUAUAAUUGCUUCGUUUGUCGCUUUCUCAACACUAUGACUACGUCAUAGUACUUUCACUAACGAAACUCGCGUAUUACGCAACUCUUUCACCUCACACGCCAAAAUUUCAACCGAUUCUUCUUCAUAUGAAAAAUCAGGUUGAAUCUCAAUAUUUUCAGUCAAAAUAACGUGAGAUGGAUCCAACCGAUAUCUUCUAAACAUUGAAAUAUGGAAAACGUCAUGCAUUUUCUGUAGUUCCGCAGGUAAAGUUAAACGAUAUGAAACUUGUCCCACUCUUUUCGUUAUCUCAUACGGUCCGAUAAAACGAGGACUUAGUUUCCCUUUUUGACCAAAUCUAAAAAUUUUCUUCCAAUGUGAAACUUUAAGAAAUAUUUUAUUGCCAACAGAAUAUUCAAUAUCUCGACAUUUUAAAUCUGCAUAUGAUUUCUGUUUAUCGAAAGUUGUCUUCAAUCUAUCUCGAAUUUUCUUAAUAAUGUCUUCCGUUUCUUAAAUUAAUUUCGGCACAAUCAUUCUUCUUUCACUUAAUUCCAUCCAACAAACAAGUGUUCGACACCUAUGACUGUAUUCAUUCGGAGCCAUUUGAAUACUUGAUUGAAAACUAUUAUAGUAUACAAAUUCGGCCAAAGGUAAGUUACGAUCCCAUCCCGAUUCAAAAUCAACAACACAAGUACGAAGCGUGUCCUCCAAAAUCUGAAUAACACACCCAGAUUGUCCAUUAAUCUGUGGGUGAAAACUUGUGCUAAAAUUAAGUCGCGUACCAAAAUAUUCGUGCAACUGUUUCCAAAAUCUCAAAGUGAAUCGCGGAUCUCGAUCAGAGGUUAUCGAUAUAGGGAUAUCGUGCAAUCUCAUGAUUUAUCUAAUAUAAACUUUAGCAAGCUUUUACUAUGAAAUGAGCUGAUUUCAUAAGUCAAUCAACAAUCACCCAUACAACAUUUUUCUUACUUGUUGAUAAAGGUAACCCAGUUACAAAAUCCAUCGUGAUACGAUCCCAUUUCCAUUCAGGAAUAGAAAUAGGCUGAAGUAAUCCGGUUGGAACCUGAUGUUCUGCCUUAACUCGCUGACAAGUUAAACAUUUAGCCAUAUAUUUGACCACGUCUCUUUUUAUUCCUGGCCACUAAUAAGAUUCUCGCAAAUCGCGAUACAUUUUCAUUUCUCCAAGUUGCAAAGCAAAAGGACUGUUAUGAGCUUCACUAAGUAUCAACUCUUUUAAAUUAGAAACAUUUGGAACACAGAUUCGAUUAUGAAAUCUCAAGCAACCACAAUCAUCAAUGCUAAAAUUUUCUACUAUACCAUUCUGAACAAUUUCUCUUUUCUACGUCAACUUGUCAUCAUCUAACCACGCUAACUUGAUCCGAUCAAAUAUCACCGUUUGAUCUUUAAUUCAACCAAUAGGCUUUCAUCGUUAUUGAUACUGAGUUGAGUAAACAUUACUCGCAAUUCAACCACUACUUUUCUACUCAAUGCAUCAGCUACAACGUUAGCUUUACCAGGGUGGUAAUCAAUAACACAAUCAAAAUCUUUCAGAAGCUCUACCCAAUGAUACUGCCUCAAAUUCAACUCCUUUUGAGAUAGGAGGUAUUUGAGACUCUUAUGAUCAGUAUAGAUAUGACACUUUUAGCCGUACAGGUAGUGUCUCCAGAUCCUUAGAGCAAAAACCACAACAGCUAUCUCUAUAUCAUGCGUCGGAUAAUUACAUUCAUGCGUUUUUAACUGACAAGAUGCAUAAGCGAUCAAUUUCCUGUAUUGCAUCAAAACAUAACCAAGACUGCUCAAUGAAGCAUCACUAUAAACGAUAAAAUUCUUUCUUGAUUUUGGUAAAGUCAAAACCGACGCUUCAGUCAACAUCUGCUUCAAUUUCUCAAAGCUUUCUUAACACUGAUCAUCCUAGACGAAUUGAACAUUCUUAUGUAACAACUUUGUCAUCAACAAAGCUAUAUUCGAAAAUCCAUUUACAAAUCUUUGAUAAUAACCAACUAGUCCAAGAAAACUACGAACCUUUGAUACAUUCACCGGUGCUUUCCACUGAACAAUUACCUUGAUUUUUUUCGAAUCAACUCUAAUUCCAUUUGCCAAGAUAACAUGAUCCAGAAAUACAACAUCUGGUAACAAGAAUUCACGCUUACUAAGUUUUUCGUAUAAUCGUUUCUCUCGUAACACUUGCAAAACAAUUUUGAGAUGUUGCUUAUGUUCGGAUUCAGAUUUCGAACAGAUCAAAAUAUCAUCAAUAAAAACUACCACAAAUUAAUCUAAAUAUGGUUGGAAAGUACGAUUCAUAAGGUCCAUAAAUGUCGCCGGUGUGUUCAUCAACCCAAAAGGCAUUACUAAGAAUUCAUAAUGGCCAUAACGUGUACGAAAUGUUGUCUUCGGUACAUCAUUAUCUUUCACUUUCAACUGAUAGUAACCUGAUCUUAAAUCGAUCUUUGAAAAGACAAAAGCUCCUUUUAGUUGAUCGAAUAAGUCAUCAAUAUAGGGUAGAGGGUAUCGAUUCUUAAUCGUCAACUUAUUCAAUUGCCGAUAGUUAAUACAAAGCCGCAUCGAGCCAUAUUUCUUUUUGACAAAAAGCACUGGAGCUCCCCAAGGCGAUAUACUAGGGCAUAUAAAGCCACGAUCCUAUAAGUCUUGCAAUUGUAAUUUUAAAUCUUUCAACUCCGUAAGUGUCAUACGAUAGAGAGACAUUGACAUCGGAGCCGUACUAGAAAACACUUCAAUUGCAAACUCAACUUCCCGAUCUGGUGGUAAUCCCAGUAAUUCCUCGAGAAAUACAUCAGGGAAUUCACAGAAAGUUCAAAUUUUUCUCAUUGAUUAUCACCAGAAUUCGAAUUGAUAGCAUAGACUAGAAAAGCUUCACAACCUUGAUUAAGAAGUUUAUCAGCUCGAAUUGCUAAAAUGAUACGAGUUGAACCACUCGUUCGAACACCAUUCACCUCAAUUAUAUUACCGUUUUCACUCUGAACAAUAAACUUCUUUUUACAACAAUCCAAAAUCACCCCGUAUUCCGUAAGCCUGUAAUGACCCAAGAUUCACGGGCACGGGAAAAGUACAGUAUCGAGCCUCCGUCUUAAUAAACCGAAUUAGUAAAUAAUUAUUAGGAGUAAUUAUGAGUCUAGUAGUGAGCUUAAUUAAGUUUUAAUUAGGUGAAUUUAGCUUAAUUAAUAGUAAUUAGAAAAAAAGACUAAAUUGAAUAAGGGGUAAAAGUCUAAUUAUAGAUUAAUAGGAAAUAACAAGGACCACAUAGACAACUAAGCCUAUUUGGGAAGAUGAGGCGGCAAAAUGGAGUAAAAUAUAAAUAUUUAAUUUAGUUAUAAAAUUUUAUUAAAUCAAUUUAAAAUAAUUAGAUUUUUCUAUGAUAAAUAUAGUAUGAUUUUGACAAGUGAAUGGUAAUAAAAAUAUACAAAUGUAAUAAUAAUAUGUAUACAAUUGUAACAUAAAUAUUUAAUUACUUUUUAUUUAAGUAAAUAGAUAUUUAUUACUUAUUAUUAUUAAGUUAAAAGAUAUUUAUUUAUUAAUUAAAUAAUUAUAUUAUAGAUUUUCAUGUGAUAAAUAAAUUAAAUGGUGAAAACUGUAUUAAUAAAAAUACAUACAUUUGCAGUAUAUACAAUAAUUAUGAAAUAGAUAUUUAUUAUAUUAUUGUUAUAAUUAUUAUUAUUAUUAUUAUUAUAAAUAAAUUAAAUUAUGACAAAUGUAGGGUGGAGAUAAAAUACAUGUGCAAUAAUAUGUAUAAUACAAUUAUAAUACAUGUAUUGUUUAUUAAAAUAGAUAUUUAUUAUUUAUUUAUUUUUAUUGAAUAAAAUAUAUUUAUUAGAUAAAUAAUUAUUAUAUAAGAUUUUUAUAUGACAAACUAAUUAAAAGGUGAAAAAUGUAAUAUAAAUAUUUGUUAAUAAAAAGAUAUUUAUUAUAAUUAUUAUUAUUAUUACUAAUUAGUAUAUAUUAUAUAUAUAUAAGAAAUGAAACAAAGGAUAAAAGAAAAAAAGGCAUUCGAAGCAGAGCACGAAAAAGAAAGAAAGAAAAGAAAAAGGAAAAAUUAGGGGUUUAAGUUUUAAAGCUUUGAUUGGUAAGUCAAUUAAGCCCUUUUUAUUUAAUUUUGAUGUUUUAGAAGAUUUAAAACAAAGUUUUGUUGAAAUAAAGUUGAGGUUUUGGAAGUUCAUAGGUUUUUAAGCAUGGUUCAUGCUGAACAAAUUGUUGAAUUAGGGAUUUAAUUGAAUGAAUUUCAAGUUAGAAUUGAUGAAGGGAUUAAAUUGUAAAAGAAGAUAUAAGUUUUAUGUUAGAGGGACUAAAUUGAAAGAAACUUGAGAUUAGAGUUUUAAUAUGAAUAUUUGAUGGUUAGGGUGAAUAUGAUAGGAAAUUGAAUAGAAAUGAAGUAUGAAUUGAGUUAUAAAAGUAAAUGAGUUAAUUAGGAUCAAAUUGAAAUCAAUGUUUGAAUUAAAUAGAAAUUCAAUUAUUUAUUGUGAAUUAGUGCUGUAUUAAUAGUAUAAAUUAUUUUAAUUUUCGUAGCUAACAAGGAACCCGAGGCAUCGACAUCAAAAGGAAAGGAAAAAGUUGUCGAGGAGUAACCGAAUAAAUCUGGGUUUGUAUUACUAUAAUUCAAGUUAUUUUUAUUAAAUAUUAAAUUUUUAAUUAUAUGCAUGGUAAGUAAAUUAUGAGGUAAGUAUUAUUAUGAAAUUGAAAAGGAAAAUGAAUUGGUAAUGGAUAAGUAUUGAUAUAGAAUUGUAUAUUGAUGAAAUGUGAAAUUGAAUUGAUUCGUAAAUGAAUUGAAUUUGAUAUUGAAUUGAGAAAGUGAAUCGAAUACCCUAUUAACUAGUUGGGCAUGCCAUAGAAUUGGAAGUGUUCAAGGAUGCUUCGACCUCGAGUCGAUGAGACAGGGUGUCACUAUAUUACUUCGGAUAAAUUCGAUGAGGUACUGGGUACCAACUUACUUUAGCUUGGCUGAUGAGACACUGGGUGUCAAUUAUUUGCUUCAAACUAUCCGAUGAGGCACUGGGUGCCAUACUAAAGUGUUUGGUUGGAUCUGUGUAUCUGCCAAAGUCCGAGUCUGUUAAUAGGGGUAAUUGAAGGAAAGAUUAAACUGAAUAAAAUUAAUUGGUUAAGCCAUUGAAUGAAAUGUGAAAAUGGAACGUGAAUAAAAAAAAUGUCAUUUGAAUGUGAGUAUGAGAAUGGAAAGUAUGAACCAAUGGUUCAUGAGAUGGAUAAUGGCACAACAUGAAUGUUUAUGAUUUCAAUUGUUGAUUUGCUAAAUUGAAUUGUAUGAAUAUAUUGAGAAUGACAAAUUUAUGUUUGAAUUAGUUUAGUAAAAAAAGAGAAAAUAAAUAAAUAAAGUUAUAUGAUUUAAUGAUAUGAUUAUUAUGUUUAUAAUUUGAAUUAUGGUAAUACCACUGAGUAUAAAAUACUCAGCGUACGAUUUUUUCGUGUGCAGGUUAAUAGGUAUUCAGAGUCUCGGUUCAGCAUCUAGGUGAUCCAGAUUCCAGCGCAAAACUCAGUGAUAUAUUCUUCUUUUGGUAAAAGUGGCAUGUACAUAGGUGUUAAUUUGGUCACUUUAAAAUGCUAUAUGAUUUUUGUUGUAAAGAAUGGUAUUUGGUAUUUUGGUGUUGAAACUAAUGAAAUGGUAUGAAAAUUUAUAUGAUAUACAUGGUAUAAUUGGUGCUAAAUUUAGAAUGGAUGAAUAAAAUUCUAAUUUAAUUUUUAAUGGUAGCAUAAAUGUUCAUAAAGUAAAUUAUCAAAUUAAUGUUAUAGGUAUGAUUUUAAUACAAUUAAACAUGAAAUUGCAUUGGUUGAAAUAUUGGUUCUGGAUUGGUUCCGAUUUGAAAUUGCAGAGAAUGUUAGAUAUUUAUGAAGGGGUUAUAUUGAGUUAAAAAAAAAAUCCUCAGAGCAUCCAAACAAAUCCCGAUUCCCUUCAAAUACGUAUUUUAGGAUUUGAGUGUCCAAUUAAGGGACUUUAUAAUUAUUUUAUAAUAUAAUAUGUUCGAUAAUUAUUUGAAUAUAAAUCGUAAAUUUUUCGAUUGUUCGGUAAUGCCUCGUAACCCAGUUUCGGUGACAGUUUAGGGUUAGGGGGUGUUACAAAGCCAAUCCAUGCCCAAAAUCUUAUUAAAAUCGUCAAACAACAUUAUCAACAAAUCAACAGGGAAGGUUAUAUUCUGUAUCACUAACGGACAUCUUCUACACACCUUAUCCACUAACACAGAUUGUCCUAAUGGACUAAAUACCACUAUCGGUACUCUAGACGUCUCAGAUUUUAAACUUUCCGACAUAACCAAUUUAGUAUUAACAUAUGAAUGCAAAGAUCCUAUAUUUAUCAAAGCAUAAAUAGGUUCUGGAUGUAAUAAAAAGAUACAUGUCACAAUGUCAUUAGCAUCGCUAUCCUUACGAGUCCGCACAACAUAAGCUCGGGCUGGCAUUCUGGCCUCUGAUUGAUAAGUAACAGCAUCAUUUCCCUUUCUAGCACCCCUUCUCGAAUAUGAACCACUUCGACUCAACCUGCAACCCCUAGGAGUAGGCAUAGAUCUUUGAGAAGUAACAGGUGUAGCUUUCUCAUUCUUCAGACACUUUCGAGCAAAAUGUUCCAUAGAUCCACAGCGAAAACAACCUCGAGUUAACUUCCAGCAUUCACCAUGGGGCUUUUUCCGGCAGUGCUCACAAUUUGGGAUAUCAAUAUCCCUAGAUGGACCUCGCACACUACCCGUAGAUACAGUCAGUUGUCUAUCACAAUUUCUAUUAGUUCUAUCUAACUUAAAAUUUGAUCUCCAGCUACCACAAAAUUCUUUUGAUCUCUUCGGUUGUGGAUUUGAACUCGCAGCUCCAGGACACUUUCCAACAGUACGGGUAUUUUUAGUCUUUUUAUCAAAGCCCUAAACUUGUUCUACCAUUCUUGCUCGUUCAAUUAGAUCCAAAAACUCAGUAAUUUUGUGCGAUACUAACUGUACUCGCAACUCAUCGCGUAAACCAUAUAGAAUUCGCUUGCAACUAUCAAUUUCAUUCAGCACAAAUUCAACAACGUACUACUAAGUCACGAAAACUCUCAUUCAUAAUCAACCACAGACAUCCCACUUUGUUUCAGUAUAAAAAACUCUUGUCUUCUAUCUUUGAUAUACAAUUCGCCAACAUAUUUCUUUUGGAAUUCGUUUUAAAAGAAUUCCCAAUUAGGCUGAUAUGUAGAUACAUGACGUGUCACUGACUGCCGCCAGGUAUAUGUUUCUCCUUGCAAUAGAGAAACAACACAUAUUACGUUUCAUACGAGUUGCAUUCAAGUUGUUACAAGAUGUGUUUAGUGGAUUCAAUCCAAACUUCAGCUGUAGAAGGAUCAACUUCUUUCAAUCCUAUGAAUUUAGUCACACCGUAUCUAUACAAAUCUUUAAUCGGAGCUCGACGAAUAUUAGGUGCAGAUACUGUAGCGGAUGUGGUUCCCACCACAGGCUGAAGAGCAUCAGCAAUAGCUCUAAGUAACUGUGAAUCACCUCCUCCCUUAGUAUAUUACCUUGUUCAACGUUAGGUUGUUGAGUACUAACUGGAUUAACACUUGGUGUUACCGAUUCGGUUCCAUCUAACUCAUUAGAGACAUCAUCUCCGGUAUACAUCCAUUGAUCAACGUCGUUAUUAUAAUCAUUCAACAUUUUCAACUAUAAAACAAAAACAAAUAUAUCUUCAACUCAAUUAUGGCAUGUACCUCUAGACUCAAUUCCAAACUUGAUUUAGUCUGAGAACCAGCUAAACCUGUAAAGCUCUGAUACCACUAACCCAUAUCCGUCGUUGGAAUAGGGUUUCAGAGCAUUACCAAGUAAUCGUAAUCUAAUCAUUUAUUUCAAACAUUUCAAAAAUCAUAAAACAAUUCCACAUUAACAUGCAUAAAGUCCCUUAAUAAGCCUUUGAGAGUUUGAAAACACUUUAGAAAUGAUUUGAGACUAAAUCGGAAAAAUCUGAAAAUUUUUGAAAAAAGUUCAAAAAUUUUUAACUGCAAGGUUUAAACGACUGUCACAUGGCCAAGUCAUACGCCCGUGUGUCUGGCCAUGUCGGCAUUCGAAGUAGGGAUACACAACCGUUUCUGUGCUUGUGUAACUCUCUGACUUAGGUCACACGACCAAGCCACACACUCGUGUGCCAGGCCGUGUACCCUUUGAAAUGGCCUCGCACGCCCUUGUGUUAGCCGUGUGUCUCACACGGCCAAGUCAUACACCCGUGUGUCUAGCUGUGUGGACCUAAAAUAUGCCUUAAACAAGAAAUUUACCAAUUCCUAUAUGCUUGGACAUUAAACAACUCAAAACCAUUCGUUUAACCUGUUCAAAACACAAUCAAACACAUUCAAAUUAUGCCAAAAUAAUCAUCCUAGGUGCCUAACCAAUGUAUCCUCAUUGGUACCACGUUUAUAUCAUCAAUUCAUAUCACCAAAGCAUCAUUCAAAUCCAAAUUAUAAACAUACCAAAUUCAAUCCAUUUUGCCUAGUUCAUAAGCACUUAAACAUCAACUUAAAUUCACAUGCACAUAUCUAGAUUUGGUUCAAAUUACCAUGCCAUAUAUGGCUUCAAACACAAACACAUGUUUAUAUGUAUAUACCAAACCAAAAUUACAUUUAUAACCUUAUUUACAAUCCUUCCACAAAAUAACUAUCAUUUAAACAUCCUAGGUACAUGGCGACACAAAAGAUAAACAUCACCACAUUUGAGUUCGGGAUCGUUGUUGGAUGUUGAAUCGGCGAUCAAAAGUGAAGUACUUAAUUUACGCACGGAAAAACAAAAUGGUACACUUAGCAAAACUCAAUGGUAUUUCAAUAAUCUGAACAUGUAAAGACAAGAUAAUAUAAUAUGCACAAUUGAAUUAUAAGCAAAUAUUAAUUUCUAGUAUCAUAACUAUCAUAUGCUAGUCUUUUUAAUUCAUACAUAUUAGCAUAUCACUUUAUAUUAUAUUCAACUUUCACAUGCUAUCAUAUUUCAUUUGUUAAACAAUGUCCCAAUUCACACAAUUGUUAUAUAAAUAGUUAUUCACAUAUCAAACCACAUUUAUUUGUACAAUAGAAUUAGCCAUUCAAUACUCAAUUCAUGAAUACAUCAUUUCAUACCAUACUCAAUUCUCAUCACUUGCUAUGUAAUAGCUUUUCACAAUUUGAUCCACAUGUCAUUUAAAAAAUUACCAUUAUUCAUUCCAUAUCCAAUUCACGAGUACAUAACUCAUGUAUCUAUUUUUUAUGUUUCAAACCACUAUCCCAAUUUUAAUUCACAUACAAUAUCAUCUAAUAUCAAUUAUAGUACCAUUUAUUUAAGUACCCCUAUUAACACGACUCGGACUCAAAUGGAUACACAGAUCCAACCAACACAUUAGUUUGGCUCCCAGUACCUCAUUGGAUAAAUCCGAAGUCAUAUGUGCUCAGCGCUAUAUACAUUAACACUCAGUGUCUCAUCGGUUAGGCCGAAGUAAAUUGGCACCCAAUACUCAUCGAGUCGAGGUCAAAGUAAUCCCUGAACUCUUCCUAUCCUAUGGUAUGCAAACUAUAACUGACUCUGCCCGAUGCAGUUACUAGGGUUUAAUUUCACAUUUCAGAUGUAACCAAUAUCCAAUACUAAUUUAUCAUAUAAUCACAUAUAUACACAUAAAUUAAAUUCAAUCUAUAAUAAUCAAUAUCCAACUUUCAUAUUAACACAUAUAUUCAUUUCAAUUCAAUAAUCAAUACAUUCAAUAUGUAUCUACCAAUUCAAUCCAUUUCAAUCAAUUAUCAAAAUGUCAAUUACUCACCUCAACAAUUACCAUAUGCAUUAAAUUAAAUUAUAACAAUUAAUAACUAAGUUCGGAUUAUAGAAAUACAAACUAGGAAUUCUGAGCUAUUCGACGUCGAUUUUAUCUUUCACCUUUUUAGUCGAGGAUUCCGGUACGACGUUAGCUACGGAAUUAAAACAAUAAAAAUUAAUCAAUACAAUAAAAUUUCAAUUUCAUAUUGAAUUUUGAAUAUUUAAAAUUUUACUCAAUAUUUUUCUAAAUUCCAAUUUAGUCCCUAAACC